This 74415-nucleotide long non-coding RNA is filed under the name Brassica rapa (field mustard). Its description in RNAcentral is "long non-coding RNA (BRAP_LNC007238)". The record is from RNAcentral. Lineage: Eukaryota; Viridiplantae; Streptophyta; Magnoliopsida; Brassicales; Brassicaceae.
GCUUGCUAUCAUCGCUCAGUAGAUUACUGAUUCUUUGUCAACGUUUCUUUUAUCCGGGGGGUUGGCUCACAGGCACUUAAUCUGACUUGUUAUCAAUUCUUAAUUUUCUCAGAAGUUUGGUACACUUUCAAACGUGCAGUAAAUGUUUUUUUUUUUUUUUGUCAUCAGUUGGAUCGACAUGAUCCCAUCUAUAAUCAACCUUACAAUGCGAAGAACGCGACUUAGUGGAAUUAAAUUCCGGUGAAGAAAACCGCAGAUUUGAACAUUUAACCACUUAAUUAAAGAUACUUUCUCACGUGUUUUCAACCUUUUAAAUUGUGAUAAUAUACCAAAAUAAUACAUAUGCAUCCUUAAUGCUCAAAAGCAUAUGGCUACACCAAAAAAAAAAACUAUAAGAUCAAAUUAUAUGGAAAAUGCUCAAACUCAUGCUCUUGAUAAAGAAAUCAUAUUAGUUAAAAGAUCAAAAACAAGCAAUAAGUCAUAAUAACAUUGUCUUUCUUCGAAGAACUCCUGAAUAUGAAAAUAAUCACUAUAACGACCAUAUAUGACGACAGAUUGAGAACACAUAAUCUCCCGCUAAUUUCAAUUGUAAUAUGGUGAGAGAUUGAAAACGACAUCAAAUCACGUAGCAUGUAUCAGAAAAUGGCGCCGGAUUUUUCUUCGUUGUCGUCCUCCGUGAAUUUUCAACUAUCAAUCGUGACCUUUUGAUUUAUAGUAUUAAUUUACGUUAAGAAUCAUCUUUCUAUCAUGAUUUAUAGUAUGGGUCAUGUGUGAAAAGGUACUUCAAUGUAAAUAACUAAAUAUUGAUCAUAGAUAUGUAGUUAGUUAUAUAUGUGGGGAUUCAAAAUUAAUUACAGUGAAACCUCUAUAAAUUAAUAAUUUUAGGACUACACCAAAAUUAUAUUUUUUUAAAUUAAUUUAUAGAGAUAUUAAUUUAUCGAUAUACUAAUUAAACCAAAAACUCAAUUUGAGACUAUAAAAUUAUAUUAUUUUAUACAGAUUUUUAGUGUAUAUUAAUUUAUAGAGUAUUAAUUUAAAGAAGUUAUACUGUACUAUGUUCGGAUGUAUCCAGGAGAACAAUGUGAUGAAUUACUAUAACCGGUACAAGUAGUUCACAUGUCAGUAUUUUGUACUCCCUCUGUAUCAAAAUAAGUGGGUUUUAAAGUUUUUGCACACCGAUUAAGGAAUUGCAACAUUUUAUUCAAUUUUUCUCGUUUGUAUAAAAACAACAUUAAAUACAAAUGAUUCAACCAAUAAAAAAUCAUAGUGCAGAAUACAAAUAGUCAAAAAUAUAAAAUUGCAUUUACUUUUUACAUAGAAACUUGAAAAUAUCACUUAAAUUAAAACAAAAUUUUUUUUCUUAAAACAUACGGAGGGAGUAUGAUUUAUUAUCAGAAAUAUCAACACAUUAACAUUAAUGUAAUGCUUUCGUAGUUUAGAAAGAGUUCCAUGCGUUUCAGUAAAUUGUUUAUUUUAUCUUCUUUUUUGUUAAUUUACGUCAAAGGUCGAUCCUGAGAUUUUGGAGGCAUGUGGCUGUGUCUAGGUAAAAAUUUUUUUUUACAAAUUCGGAAGCCUAAUAAUUUUUUUUGGAAACCUAUUCAUAUGUAAUUUUUUCAAAAAAUUUGGGAACCUGUUGCGAAUGUUUCACUCAACAUGGCCCAGGACCGGCCAUGCGUCAAAUUGUACACACUUGUUAUAUAACAUAAUUUUCUCGAGUAUAAACCACAGAUAACGGUGAAUAUGGUGAGAAGCUUAAAAACUAGGCCAAAAGUCAGUCAUUGGCAAACUAUUAUCUCCUGUUUAUGCUAGUAUAAAACCCAAGUAUAAGGUCGCUAGCCCAACUACUUUUCUCUUUGAACCAUAGUAUUUGUAUCGAACAAAAUAAAUAUAUAAAUACUUUUUGUGUCUUUAGUUUUUUUUUUUUGCUAACAUUUGUGUCUUUAGUUGAAGUACCAUGUGAAGAAUGGCUGACAAACUGCUUUAUAACAAAACUUCAGAGGUUCGUGAAUUGUCAGGAUCACAUCAGUUUAAAAUACAAUAAUACAAAAGUUGGAUAAAGAAUUGAGUAUUCCAAAAAAAGCCAGUGCAUGUGGGUGAUCAUAGAGCAUAGUGAAUAAUUGAAUUGAGCCGUUUGAUCCUAGGACUUGGAGGAGAGAUUCGUACGCUUGAGUGAGUCCUUCCUUCCUGGAGGAGCUAUAGCCUGAGUAGAGUUUCGCACACUACUAGGACCCACCUCGUCACAUGAUCUAACGUGGAGAUUGUUGAACACGUGUCCGAUGCAUAUUCGUUUAAGUUAAGAACUACUUACAUGUCAGUAAGAGAGAACCGAUCCCGAGGCAAAGCCACGUGAUUUGUUGAAUGAUAUAAUUGUUUUCAUGCAAAUUGGCGCUUCUAAUCUUCUUUGUUUCACUUUUAAAAAAUCAGUCUACAUGCAAUCACUACUUAGGCAAGAAUCGAUAAUAAUGGAUUUGAUCUAAAAAAACAAAUCGGUUUAAACAAACUAAACCGAUUUUAAUUGGUUAAAUCAAAUAAUAUAAAAUUAAUUUAGUUAUAUCAUCUUACUACCAGUUCGUUUAAAUCAAGUGUAGAUUUUUUUUCUUCCAGUUUUGUGUAUUUAGAGUAAACUCACAAGUUUAUCUAGCUUUUUUACAUAUCUAGUUUUUUAAAUAACUAAAUAAAUAAAUGAUUCAUGAACUUUAGUCUAUCUAAACCCCAAAUAAUAUGGGUAGGCGUAAAUCUUAUACAAGAUGUGUAGUCCUUGUCUAACAAUUUCUUGAAUAUUAAUUAAAAUACGCUAAACCGUGUUUUGGUAAUCUUGAAAAUGUGCGUGGGGCCAAUCUCAAUGGUAUCUUCUCACGUAUUUUAGACAAAGGUGGGUCCUAACGAAAACAUGGGUUCUUACUUGCUCGCAAGUCACCCGCGCCUUCACCUGUUCUCCCGUGCACAUGCUAGUUGUUAACCCUCCACCGACUAGAUACGCAUACGGUCUCAUUGAUUUUGUAUAAUAUACGUUAUCGUAUACCGUCAACCGUACAAAUAAUGUUUAAAUACUAACCCCUAUUCCGCCAACAUUUCUUAUCCCGCUUAUUCAUACUAUAAAUUAUGUAGAUCAUCAUGUGUCACGGAUUUGUAUUAUUACUCUCUUGUGCUAGAGGUGGCAAUUUAUUUAAUAUUUAUAUAUAGAUGGGAUAUGGACACAUCUAAGUGUAACUUUAUAUAGUCAUGUUACUUGGUGAGAUCAUAUAAAGAAACGCUCGCAUCUUCACAAGUGUGUCUUCAUCUCAAGAGGCGUUCUUCCGAGUAGUGGACCGUGCCAUGAGAGAUAGGCUGCUUUCACUAUCUCGUCCUUCAUCCGCGGCUCAUCAUCCUUCUUUGUUGGAGUUGUACUUUUGGUUCCUUACCCCUUAUAGUUAAUCCUUCUCUCUUUAUAUUGCUCUCUCCCUUGCUCCUUUUCUUUCUUUGUAAUAAGUUGUGCUUCACAACAUUGUAAACUCUAAAAAAAUGGUAUAAAUCUUAACAUUUACACCAAAAAAAAAAAAUCAUAUAAAGAAACCUUUUGAGAAGUUUAGCCUUUUCCAAUAACAAAGCAAAUAACUAGGCUAAUACUAUAAAAUUGAGAUUUCAACUCUAAAAUAAAUUCAUUAAGGAUAUAUAUCCUACAUCGGAAAUUCUAAAGGACAUUAAUAAUAUAUAAAGGAUUAUGACCAAUUCAUUAAUUGCCAAUUAAUUUUAAGUUGGAAACUCAGGAAACUUAUCAGCUGAUUCGGAUUGAAGAUUUUUUUCUAUUUUUAGAUGAUAACUAUAUUCAGGUUUAAUUCAUAAGUCCUACCACACUCAAAAUGGCGUUUCGUAAACCACUUACCUAAUUAUUCAUACAUGCGUUUUCGUUAUUUUACUGGAACCAACAAAUUAGUUGGUCAGAGAAAAUAGCGUUUUGUAAGCAAAUCUACUCGUUUUAAUCAAUAUUUGUUGAGGUGUCUUAAUCAAUUUAAGAUUAGUGAUCGAAAUACAUAAGUGAAAGCUUUUUCUUCUGUGCCGGAAGUUAUGCGAACAUUUUGGUCCCGACCAUGGGCUGAGGUUCAAACUGUCAAUAGCACAAUAUGAAUGAAUUUGAAUAAAUAAAAUCUUACUAUUCUGCUAUAAUGCAUGAAAUGAUCUCAACAUAUAACCACUGACUAGAUGAUAUGUAUUAUAUAUAUAGUACACGUCUUUAUAUGUAUAUAGUUACAUAUAUAAACACAUUCAUGAUAUAGCUUUUGUCAUUUACAGAGUAAUGUGGAGAGAAGUCUUUUAGAAGAAAAUGAUCAUGUAUGGAGUGAAGUCCAAGUUAGUUACUGCAAAAUCUAUACUAAAAAGAAGAAGAAAAUUAUAAGAGAGUGGAAAAAGUAGAGCCUUAGAAAAUCAGCAUUAAAUUAAAUUGGUAGGUACUAUAAAUAAUCCUUUAAAAUUUCUUUAUGAAAGAGUGUGCUUGAAGUAACGAAGCUAAGAGUAUGGUUGAAGUUAGCUGUCCCAAGUUAGCUAAAGAAGAUAAUCUCAAAGAAAAUCUCAUUAGAUAUAUAUGUUUAAGAAUGUUGAGUUCAAAGGCUUUGGAUUCAUUGUGACUUCGGUUUUUGGUGACUACGUACAUUGUUCUCCACAAAACUAGCCAUGAUUUUAAGUUAUCUGUUGCUAACCUAUUAAGUUUAUAUGUUUCUUUAUAUAAUUUCUUAUCAUCAUUGUUCAGUAAGACAAAAACACUUAGAAACAAAUUCUAAUGAUGGUAUCUACCAGAUGAAAAUGAUUAGAUCUUUUAUUAUCAUUUUAAUUAAUUUGAAGAUACCUUAACCAUAUAUAUACAUUACGGUAAUCACGAUGGUCUAAUAUUUAUCACUGAUAAGAAAGAAAGAAAUAAAGUUGACCUAGGUUUCCUAAAGCCUAUGUAAUAAGUAUACUUGUAAUAUACGGUAUUUAGAAAGCCUUUACUUUUACUUUGCAAGUUUGCAACACGUAGUUUGUGGCAUAAACAAUGGGAAGAAAAUUAGCAAAAAAAAAAGAGAAUAAUAAAUAAGAUAAUUAUCUAAAUAUAAAAUUGGAAUUACAUGUACGUGUAAAAGUCGUAUAAUUCCUUCGUGCUAUUUCACCUUCCCAUUAUCUCAUUGACUUUUCUUAUAAACCGGUAGGAGCAAAACCAUGACUUGGACUAGAACUUUAUACGCGUUAUGAUUUAUUUAUUUUUUCAUAUAAAAUCAAUUCUUUACUUAAAUGACAAUUCUUUUUGAAUUGGUUUAUGACAAUUAUAUAAUAGUAUAGUUUUUCUUACGUUACAACAACAUAAAUAACCUUUGUUGAAAACAAAGUGUAACUUUAAUUUUUUUUUUGUAACAAGUGUAACUUUAAUUUAAACCAUCUUUUUAAAAAACCAUCAUUUUCCUUAAUAAGUUAUACUCAAUCCAUUGUUUCUCAAACAAAUACAACUUUUGUACAGCUAAGCAAGGUUUGUGAAUAAAUCAUCUUUGGUGAGAAAUGGAACCCACAUGAGGGAGGUGAGAUUAAGAUAUUAUUGUUUCAUAAAUUUUAUGAAAUUGUUUAGAGAGAGAAAGAGACUUCCACAUGAAGACAGAGUAAGGGAUGGUAAAAUACAGCUAGCAGCAAAAGCUAAGAGAGAGAGAGAAGAAGAAGUGUUUCUCUCACACCUAACUCUUUAUAAUAAUAAGGGGAAGCUAUUGCUCUCCAUUACUAACCCAUUUUCCCAAUCAAUCACUCUUCACUUCUCCCCACUCCUACUCCUUUUUCUCCUUUCUAAGCAAUCUCCCUCCCUCUCCUUAUAUUCUCAAAUUUGAUUCUCUCUCUCUCAUACCUGCACACCACUACCAACAGAGGUUUGAAUUCUCUCUGUAACUCUGUUUCCACUCCCGUUCUUGAUUUUGGUUUUUGCUUUUCUUGGUUAUGAAAUGGAGUUUUAGGAUUCUUUGGUGUUCAAAUUGAGGUUUUGAGGAGUUUAUGAAGUGUCGGUGGUACAAUUUUCUGGUUUGAGUUUUGUUUGUACUCUGUUUUGGUAAAGAACAUUCAAAUUUUGUUCCUUUUUUUUGUGUUUCACACAGCAACAAUUCUAGAAAAGAGAGAUAAAUCAAGAAUGCUUAACUAACGGUGACUUUUGACUUUUAGACCCAUUGGGUCUAUUGCAAUUGAAUUUGUGCUUAGAAUUGUCUUCAUUAUUUCUGUAACCCACCCAAAAAAGGGUGGGCCAAAGCAUGUUCAUUUUCAAAUUUUGGUUUUUAAGAUGGUUCCAAAAUUUUGAAAACUUUUGAGAAACUUCCUUACUGUUCAAAACUCUUGUCAUGUUCCUCUCAGUAUAUUCAUUACCUCAUCUCUCAUUUUUUUAUUUUAAUCAUCAAUUGUGCUUUUAUUUCUUUCUGUCCAGCUAAAUUGCUAAACUGCAAAAAAAGAAGAUGUUUGGACAAAGCUUCCCGGAGGAUAUUGAUUGUGGCAACUUCUUUGACAACAUGGACGACAUUCUUGACUUUCCCGGUUGUGAUAUGGAUGUCGGUUUCAACAUCGGUGACUCCGACCCUUUCCCUAACAUCUGGACCAAUCAUCAGGACACAUGGCCCGCCGCUUCUGACCCUCUCUUCUCUUCCAACACAAACUCUGACUCAUCACCUGAGCUCUAUGUUCCGGUCAGUUUCUACACUAACCUAAUAACCCUUGUUUAUAUUUUUUGUAUUUCCUCGGUUUCCUUUAAUUGAUAUUUAAUGUUAAUAUCCACCGAUUGAAAUAUAUAAAUGUUAUUUACAACAAAAUAUUAUUAAAAAAAAUGAAUUCAACCAGUAAAAAUAAUGUAGUAUGUAGUCACGCAGUUCAAAAAAGUAAAUUAAUCACAAAUAUCAAAUAUUGUUAAAAAUGUUUAGAACAGUGAAAACAUUAUCUAUUUCGUGACCAAAAUAUUCUUACUUAAACAUCAAAUAAACUAAUAUAGAUGAAGUAUAUAAUUCCAGCAUAAUUGUCUAACAAUGUUUAUAUAUUGGUUUGUGGGAAAUUUGCAGUUUGAAGAUAUUGUUAAGGUGGAAAGGCCAGCAAGCUUUGUAGAGGAGUCUUUGGUCGCGAAGAAGGAAGAUUCGUUUUCCACAAACACGGACUCAUCUUCUUCUCACAGCCAGUUCAGGAGCUCAAGUCCAGUGUCGGUACUCGAAAGCAGCUCCUCAUCGUCUCAAACCACCAACGCAACCUCACUUGUCCUCUCUGGAAAGCACGGUCGUCCACGCACAAAACGCCCUCGCCCACCGGUUCAGGAGAUGGACAGAGUCAAUGUUUGCGGGGCGGAUUCGCGUCUCAUCGUUAGAAUACCAAAGCAGUUUCUCUCUGACCACAGCAAGAUGAUCACCAAGAAGAAGAAGAAGAAGGCCAAGGUUACUUCUUCCUAUUCUUCGUCGGGGAUUGAUCUUGAAACCAACGGAAGCAACAACAACAACAACGUUGAUUCAUAUGAUUCAGAGCAGCAUCCGGUUAGGAAAUGUAUGCACUGUGAGGUCACCAAGACUCCACAGUGGAGGCUUGGGCCUAUGGGUCCAAAGACGCUUUGCAACGCGUGUGGCGUGCGUUACAAGUCUGGAAGGCUUUUCCCGGAGUACCGUCCAGCUAAUAGUCCAACAUUCACUCCAGCUCUUCACUCGAACUCACACAAGAAGGUGGCUGAAAUGAGAAGCAAGAGAUGCAGCGGUGGAAGCUACACAAACGAAGAGAGUAAUCUGCAAGAUUUGAUUCCGAACAAUGCCUACAUUGGUGUGGAUUAAGAUCGAGAAAAGAUGGUUCAGUUUCCAAGCGUUGAAGUGAUUAGAGUUGCGAGGAGUAGGAAAGAGUCAGUGAGCAGAAAAGUUUUAGCUUUAGAAGAGAUGAAUGAAGAGGAGAGGAUCAAGAGUUAGAUGGAAAAUGAUUGUGUUUGUAUUUUGUAUUUGUAGUGUGUAUGUGCAAAACUCUUGAACACAAAAGAAGAGCAGAAGAUUUUGAAGACACUAGAGAACGUUAGGUUUUACAUUAAAUCUUCCUCUCCUUUUCUUCUUUCAAUUCUUUGUAUUUUUACUGUGAGGAUUCUUUUUGUAGUUGAUUUGUUUAUUUUUUUGUUUUUGUUAAAAUUUUAUUUUAUUCAUUAGCUGCACCUGCACCUCCGAUACAUUGCUAUUUUUGUCUCUAUCAUUUAGAGUUAAUUUCAUUUUAAUUCAUUGCUAUUUUUUCUUCUAAGAUGGAGAUUACUAUUUUUUCCUUCUAAAUAUAAGAGAAGAAAUAUCAAUCUCUAUUUUUCACUCUAUAUUUUGAAGAUUGCUAUUAGGCCUGGCCAUUCGGGUUUUCGCGUCGGAUUCGGACCGGUUCUUUUCGGGUUUUAAAUAUUUAGACCCAAUAGGUACUUAGAAACUUUCGGUUCGGGUUCGGAUCCGGGUCGGUUCGGAUCUAUAAUUAAAAUACCCAUAAAAUACCCGUAAUUUUUUGGAUCCAGGUCGGAUUCAGGUAUUUAAGAUGUGAAAAGGACAUGACAUACCUAAUUUCAUCAAAAUUAGUUGAUAUUUAUCAUAUAUAUCUAAAAUUUUACAAAACAAUUUAAAUAAAACUAUUAAUAACUAAAAUAAAAUAUUUUUAAAUUCUAAAUUUUACAUUUUAAAUCUUCAUAUUACUUAAAAAAUGUUACAAAAUAAUAACAAAUAUUGUUAAAAAAUAUAUUUUAACUAAAUCAUAAAAUAAUAUUAUAUAAAAUAGAGCACAAAAACAUCAUAGUUUUAGAUAUACAUGUUUUUAAGUCAUGUACAAAUCGGUUCUUAUCGGAUCGGUUCUUUUUGGGUCCGGGUCUAUUCAGGUCAGUUUCUUUCGGAUAAAAAAAUUUAGAUCCAAAAGAUACUUGUAAAUUUUCGGUCCGAUUCUGGAUCGAAUAUUUUUGGAUCGGUUAUGGUUCAGGUUUUUGGAUCCAUAUUAAAAUGUCCAGGUCUAAUUGCUAUUAUAGAAUAAUAUAUUGAAGCAAACUCUAUCUCUAUUAUAAAAUUUUUUUAUUUUAGAAGAAAAUAUAUCAAAAUACAUUGAAAAUGGUCCAAGUACACGGUAUUUUCUUGCCAACAAACUGAGUACUAGUAGGCAUUUUUAAAAAUAUUCGUCGAACCGUCAAUAACAUCAUCAUAAUUGAGUAGACAUUUUUGAAAAACUGGUCAAACCGUCAAUUACAUCAUCAUAUAAUUUACAUUUAUAUUAUAAAUAAUCAUUAACUAUUUGUAACAUAUGUAUAUGUGAUAUUAAUGAAAAACGAUUCCGCGACGUAAUUCUUACUAUAACUUUUUCUACAUAUAUUUAAACUGUGUUUAUGAUUGGUUAGUCUUUUAUUGCUUGUUAGAGGUUUAGUGGUUAAGUUAGUGUUGCUUUUUAAUCAGUGGUAGUUAUGAGAUAAUCAACAAUGUAAAUUAAAUGUAGAUAGAUAGUUAAACAACCAAUAUCUUUCAUAUAAAGACUUGAUAGACUAUCUCUUACGUAAAAAUCCAUCUUUGAUGCCAAUUUAAGUUGAGUAAUAAGAGUGUUUCUUAAUUAAGCAACCUUCCCAAAUAUCUUUUCAUAUUAACACUCUUUCCCUCUCUCUCUCUUUUUUUAAUGGGUUCUUCAUCUUACAUAAGUAUUAAAAAUGUUUUUCAGGAUAUUUAAUUUGUUGUUGUUAUCUUAGUCUCCCUUUCUUAGGGUUAAUUGUUGAAAAUAACUUGUUCUUGCUGGCUUUGUCUUCUACAAAUGCAUUCUUCCAUGUAAUUUUCCCUGAAGUAUAUAAUUCUAGUGUAAAAAAAACAAUGAGCGAAGGUGACUAGAAUCAUCGCCUGAUAAGUAGUGGACAAUUAAAGAAAAUUUUUGUAUUGGCCGACGCCAAAUAAUCACCUCGAUUGGACAACAUAUACUUCUUGAUGAUUCAUGAUUUUAAUAAAUUCACCAGACAUAUUUAUUCUUUCUCUUUUGUCUUUUAAUUGUUUUUAUUUAGUUUCUCUCAUUUUUUCUGUGAGGGGUCUCUUCUGCGUUUUGAAUUUCAAAUAUUUGAUUUUCAAUCACAAAAUUUCUCUUUAUGAUAUUUAUUGCAAAUGUCAGAUUAUCUCUUUACACUUUGAUGAAACAGUGCUUUCUGAGUAUUUGAAGGAUUCUAUUUGCGUUUUUGGUUCAUGUAUAUUUUGAUUCUUGAUAAAUGUUAAAGUCUUUUUUUUUUUGCUAAAAUGUUAAAGUCGUAACGUUUAUUUGUAAAAUGUGGUAUUGAAUCCAAGAAGCUUGUGGUUUUCUAUGUUGAAGUAAGGAGGCUUUUGAUACAAGUAUUGGAACUUUAAAUGUAAGAUAAGGACCUUGGAACUUUCAUAGUUGAUAUAGACCUCAGAGGUCGUUUUGCAUGUUUAAGGAUGAUCUCUUUAGAGCACAAAAAAAAAGGAUGAUCUCAUUAUCAGUAACACUGAAUUCGAUAAACACCACCUUCAACUCAGGCUCCUGUAGAACUUUGCUACGAUUCGAAAUGAUGUCGUGUGUUUCAUGAACCCAAAACAUUUUGGUUGGUUUUUUCAGGUGGAUUAGAUGCUAUCAGGCCCAUUAUCAUAUCCUGCUCAAAACAUCUUGAUUUAGCGAGAUCUUUGUCACUUCACGAAGCAUACACUAGAGGUGAUAGUUUCCGUCUCACAAUCUCACAGAUGGUUUCCAAAAAAGUAGUUGCAGACAAAGUUUAUGUGAAAAAUUUAUCAGUUCAGUACAAGGAAAGAUUCUCAACACACGGGUUCUCUUUAUCAAUUAGCUGUUGCAUUUUUUUUUAUUGCAUCGAGUCCGAAGACAAGUUACUCCCUGAAUGAUAGAUUGGGUCACCCACCAUCUUGCAAACCGUUGUAACAUGUUUUUCUUUAUCUUAGACAACUCGAACAUGUUUUCACAUAUAUGUAUACUUAUCUCGUAUUACAUCAACUAGGCAAAGAACCCGUGCGAUAUCGCACGGACACUCAUUUUAUAAAAAUAAUAUUAUAUAAAAUUCAUUUUUAUAAAAUAACUUUUAUAAACAUUUUUUACAAUUACUUUUGAGGAAUACAUAUGUUACAAAAUUUCUCGCAUGCAACUAUGUUUCUUUAUUGAAAAUACUAAAAACUAUAUUUCUUUAUUGGUAAUACUAAAAACUAUGUUUUAUUUAUAGGUUUGGUUGUAAUAAAUUUAUAAACAUGUAAAUACCAAAUAAGAUAUAUGUCUUUUAGUUCAUUUAUUUAAAAAUCUCUAUUUGAAUCUAAUUAAAAAGCAAACACAUUCCAGUCUAAUUUUUUACUAAAUUAGUAAGUUAACUUACAAUGAAAAGUAAAAUAUUCAUGAUUUUUCUUUCGAAACCAUGUCAGACGUGUGCAGUCGAAAACAUUACUAUAUGACAAUUUUAAGAUAUAUUAUCCCUUAACAUAUUCUUCUUAGUAUAUCAUCCAUAUUUUCUGUUUUAUUAGACGUUCUUAAAAAAUCAAACUGGCAUUAAAAACUAAUUAAAAUUCAAUUUAAAAUGAAAAUAGAUUUUAAACCUUCAAUAUAAUUUCGAGUUCUCAGUCAAACUUAUUCAUUAUAUGUAUAUUCUAUAAAUAAAAAUUCCCAAAAAAAUGCAUGCUUACAAAUUAAGAAGCAGAUUUUGGUAUAAUUACAAUGUGUAUACUGAUACACAAAAAAUAUUUAUUUUAUAAGAUUAUGUAUUAUAAGAAAUAUUAAAAAAAUUGUAACGACUUAAAAAUAAAUAAAAAACGAUUCUUAAUUAUUCACAAAUUUUAAAAUCUUUAUAUCUCUUUGUUGACUAAUCUGCUGACAAAAAAAAGACUAAUAUACAGUUCCAAAUUCUUAACUAAUUAAAAUUCAUUUUAAAAUGAAAAUAGAUUUUAAACCUUCAACAUAAUUUUGAGUUCUCAGUUAAACUUAUUCAUUAUAUGUAUAUUCUAUAAAGAAAAAUUCCCAAAAAAAAUGCAUGUUUACAAAUUAAGAAGCAGAUUUUGGUAUAAUUACAAUGUGUAUACUGAUACAUAAAAAAUAUUUAUUUUAUAAGAUUAUAUAUUAUAAGAAAUAUUAAAAAAAUAUUGUAACGACUUAAAAAUAAAUUAAAAUCGAUUCUUAAUAAUUAAAAAAUUUUAAAAUCUUUAUAUCUCUUUGUUGACUAAUUUGCUGACAAAAAAAAGAUUAAUAUACAGUUCCAAAUUCAUUACUUGAACUGUUGAAAACAUUUACUAAAUUACCGCACAUAAUAUCUUUUGGUAGUUCUUAUUUAAAUUUAAUAGUCUGGAAAUUUUGAAAUCAAAUAAAUCAUUUGUAAGCUCUAUCAUGUUUUUCCAAAAGGUGUGACAAAAAAUUUAUAAUGGCUCAAACAUAACUACAAAAUUUUCAGUUUAAUGAUUUACUGAAAUAUGUCAAUAUAUUUAUUUCCAUUAAAUAUUUGAAGAAAGACUUUAAUUAUAAAUGUAUCAAAAUUAUUCAAACUAUUUGUACUAAAAUCAUUGAUUUCAACACUCUCAUUUAUUAAUGACACAUAAAAAAGCCUUAUCUUCAGAUUCAUCGUCAUAUAAGAAGUCACCAAGAUUAAAAUGAAAUGAGUUCAUCAAUGGUGUUGUGGUGAAGUUUUUGAAGAUCUUAGAUUGUAUUAUAAAUCAGGCCGCAACUUUCAUCCGUUAAUAGGCCAUAACUUAUAUCAAAUUUUGUAACUCUAUGAUUCAUAUUUUGGACUGAGGAGUGAAUCUGCAAAAUAAAAACGAAAGCUAAGUUUAUAAAUCAGUGAAACAAUAAACUGAAAACCUUUAUUUACUGGCGGUAAUUUAUUGAAAUUCUUUGAAUGUGGUCUGAGUUAUCAAAGUAGACACUUUUCUUAAAUUAAACUGUUUUUUUUAAGAAAUAAAAUAUUAUUACCAAACCUGUUGUUUAUAAAUAUGAUAGAAAAACAGAUGAACAUAAAUAAGAAGAAUUUUCUGAGUUCACUUCACAAUUAUAAAGAUAAUGAUUAAUUGCAUACCAUGUGUUGCCACACAAUCCAAAGUAGAAGAUGAUUGCAAAUCUCUUAAAAGAAAGAUCAAAAAAUAAUUAAGAUAAAAAAAAAAUUAAUAAUAAUUAAGAUCGUUUUAAAGAAGUAAAGAUGAAGAUGUAAUCUAUCCUAUACUAAAAGGAGCAAAUAAAGCCCUCUUAAGGCCUCCACGUCAGACUGAAAAUUCAGCCAAUCACGUUGCAGCAUUUCCUCCACGUCAGACAAUAGACUCGCGGUUUGGGCUUUUGUGGUCUUUGGUUUUGUAGUUCGAGUUCCAUGCUCUGCACCGAUGAUCGAUUUGUUCUUCACAAACAAACGAUCGAUGGUCAAUUGACUUUCACGAUGUGGAGUGAAACGAAUCGUCAUGGAAAAUCUCUUGAGUUAAAUUUCCAUUGCGUCGUUUUGUAUUUCCUUUAAUUAAUGUAAAUGUCUUCAUCUUCUAUAUUUUCUCUCUCAGACCUUCAAACUCUGCAACAAUGGAUUCCACGGACUCUCAUAUCCUCCCAAUCUCCACUUCCCAAACCGUUCCCUCCGCCGCUCCUUCUUUCGUAGAAUCUCAACCACAUCGUAACCCAUGUGUUCUCGCCUUCAUCAACCGAGUUUCAGAAACUGUCACAAUCGGAUCUUUGUGCUUUUCCUCACUGAUGUUGGAUCUUUUGUCUCGGCUGUUAUGGUCGGAAUCGGUCUUCCUUUUGUUUUUUCUUCAUCGUUUGUUUAUUUUUAAGUUUAAGAGUCAGAAAAUCUCAUUUUGGUUAAUUUUUGCUUGAUUCCUGGAUUGCUGAUAUAAGCUGUGAAUUGAAAUCUAGGGUUAGCUUCCCUGAAAAUAUAUGGAUUCUUUAGAUAGUUUUUUGUUCCUCUAUUGAAGAAUAGCAUGGCUGUAUAUGUUUAUUGACAACAUAUGCUACUGUUUUAGGUUCCCUUUGGUAAAAUUGUCCGAUGUAGGAGUGUUCGGGUAACGAUCAAUGAUCUCUAUCUUUUCGAUCCUCAUUGUUUAACCUAUCUGGAUAUUUUGUUUCAUGCCCUAAUUGUGUAUAGCAAUAUGUGCUUUAAAAGAAGUCACUUGCAGUGGAAGUUUGAGUUCAGGCUGGAUGCAAAUUUAAUCAAAUAAGAUAUAUAUUUUUCUCUGCAGGGAAAGAGUUUGUUUACCUCGUGAAAAAAAAACAAAUGAUCGGUUGACCGGAUGGGUUCUGCAUCGACGGUUCUACACUGGGUGCAUGAGAAUCUGAGCAAGAUAGAUGAAAAGAGUCUCUCUUUCUGCAGCCGGAGAUGGUUGUAUUGCAAAGGUAACUUCCACCAAGGAAGCCCAUUUAUUCAUUCAUAUAGAGAAAAAAAAUUUCAUAGGCUACAUCUUUGACCUUAUGAGUCAAACUGUGUACUUCUCAAUCCUAGAUGAUAGAAAAAUGAAGAACCCGAAGUAGCAAGGAAGGUGCGUAUCCAACUUUUUAGUAACCUUUUUCUUAAAGACAUGAGAUACAUUUUGACAUAGAUUGCAAGAACAGAUGUUGAGCUACAAGAACACUUCAACACUGACUCUGUCUUUACUCUUGCUCAUCAAAAAAUUCCUUCCACUACUCCGAUUCUCUUUAUGUAAGCUAUUUUCUUAGUAUUUUUGAGUUUCUUGCUAAUCGUUAUAAAUAUUAUUGAUUAUCCCAUAUUCUCCCAACAUUGUCAUGUUGCGGUACCACCACUCGGAUUAUUAUUUCCCCUUAACCUGCAAUGCUUUCUAUUUUAUUGUUUAUUUUUACUGAUUUUACUGUGUCUUUGUAUUUGAUUCACAUGUAAUAAGAAAAGAGUUUUGGCUACCUGGCUCAGGGCCUGAUUUCGGUGUGCCGCCUUUCUCCGGUAUCAUUGCUGUUAUCCUUUUAAAGAUUUUAUUAGCUCUUCAAGCUUUGUUAGAAACCAACAUGAUCAAAAUCAACCAACCGUGACCAGGAACCAGUUUUUGGCAUCAGCUUAUUUCAAACCCUGAAACUGCAAAGUUUUCUUUUGUCUUGGACUAAUAUUUUCAUGUAAUGACAGUCUUAGCAAUGUGGAUUGCAGCUGCGCUUUGGGAACUUUAAGUUUGUGUAAAGAUCAAGAAGUUGCUUAACUCUAAGCCAAAGCUAAUCUUAAAUUACACAAGCAAAGCCAAGGCUAUCACUUCUCAUUUAGUCCUCUUUUCAGUUUUCAUAUGUAGUGGUUUCGAAGAGAUCAGUGUAUUCAUCUUCUAAGCUGGGAAAAGACUUAUACAAGCUGAACUAAAGAAGUAUGUUCCUCUUAUAGCUCCAGAGGUUUUGAAUGCUUAAGAUAAGGAUGAAAAGAUCUAUGAAGAUGCAUGUGUCUAUGAGCAAGGUUUCCAUGAUAUAUACCAUAGUACGGCUGAGGACAUGAGCCAAGCCAUGAACAAAUAAAUCAUUCUUGAACUGAUGAAACUCUCUUUUUGUUUUUUUUUUAAACAACUUAUCCUUUUCUCAUUUGGAUAGAAAAUAUAUUUUCUCAGCUAAUUUUGGUCUGACAUGCAGACUUGAAAAUGAUAGUCUACAGACGAGAAAGAGCUAUAGGUACUAAGAAAGAAGACAUGAAGGAAAUCUUGUCUUAAGAUUAAGCUAAAGUGAUUCUUUGGUUAAAUCAUUGUCACAUGAAAGAUUAUAUGUUCAUAUUAUAUGCGGUCUUAUAUUUCUUUGUCGGACAUCUAUAUGUCAUUUCAAAUACUAACAAAGUAAAACUUGGAAGCUAGGAGAAAGAUUUUAUAUGCUCUAAUUCAAUAAAGCAUUAACUGUUAUCCAUUAUUUAUGUUUUUCUUAUCUCGACAUGCAUUUGCAAUGUAAACACAAAGUCAAAAUAUUCCAUUACUGAUCUGGGUGAAUGGGCAUCAUAUGUUGUGUUACAAACACUAGUGAUGGAAUAAAAGACACGUGGUUAAAAAUUAUGCAGAUAUAGUAAACAAUCAGCAUUAACUUAAAUAAAAACAAUCAGGAUUAUUAACUUAAAUAAAAACAGUAGAAACGCUUAUUUUUAAAUUUUUAUAAUAUUAUUUGAGAAGUCAGUUUCCUAUAUGUCGCGCUCACGUUACCUCUCAUGGUGGUUGAUUACGAUGAUACCCUUAAUGAAUCAAAUAUAGAUACUGUAAAUAUAAUUAUCAUUAUUAGAUAUUUGUUUUAUUAUAUUUUUCCCUUUUAUAUUGGUUUCCUUUUUCUUUUUCUUUUCGAAUAACCUAUAUAAUCAAGAAAAUUUAUAAAUUUAAAAAAUGGUUAUAUCUUUUAUAUAUAGUGUAAUUCAUAAUAAGGAAAGUUCACAAAAUAAUAUUGAUUUUAAAGUAAAGAAAUAAUCUUCCCUUUUAAAAAUAAUCUUAAACAACAUAAUAUAAAAUAUUAAGCAUUUUAUUUAAAUCAAAUAAUUUAAAAACAUAAACUAAGAUAACUUUAAUGAAGAAAAAUUAAUUUAAUCAUUUUUAUGUUCUCUUUAUAUUUUUCAAGUAACAUAUAUGAUAAAUAAAAUAUUUAAAAAACUUUAAAACGAAAAUAUUUUUUAUAUAAAAAUGAUUGCAUUAGUUUGAAUACAAUAAAUAUGAUUUGGUUGAAUUAGGUUAGAAAUAUUUAUACUUCAGUUGGACAGAAUUCCCUUUCUAUUAUUUGAGGAGAUCAUUUUAAAACAAACAUUAACUUCAUGUGUGAUUUACAACUAUGCCAUUGCUUAGGUGGCAUCCUCACACUCCACUUCAUAGCAUUAUUUUAAAAGUUAGAACAUUAUUUUAAAAGUCCAUCCUUGCCUAGAAUAUUUACCUUUCAUGCCACUAUAAUGUUCAUAUAUUAUAUGCCUCAUCAUUAUAUCUCAUUCGGAAACUGUUUUGAAUAAAUAGUUUCAAAAUAUGUGAAGUUGAAGGACACGUUUACUUAUAUAACUAUAAAUACUUGAAAUAUAUACACUUAAAUAACAAUAAUCCUUGCUUUGUCUACAUAUAUAAUGUCUCUAUCUUCCUCAAGAACAAAACUCUCACCUAUUUCUUGCAGGUCAAAUAGGUAUUUUGAUAUCAAGGUUGUCUAAAUAGUUUUUUUUCCUGCCGUCUAAAUAGUAUAAUCCCUGUUACAAACUUAAUGAUACACGUACAUGGUGGAACACAUGAUUUGUUGUAUUCUUCUUUUUUUGUCAAUGAAUCCUUUUAUUCAAAAGUGCAAGACAAAAGCUUGCUGGGGAAAUAACAACCAGGUACCAGUUUGAGAAAAACAACAAUGAGAAAGCAAAAACCAUCAGUAGAUGCCAAGCAAGAAACCUUCACGGGAAGGAAAAAAAAAGGAUAGAAGCUCAACCCUUCUUUAACUAACACUCCACGUAGGAAGACUCGGUUAUGGCAUCUGAGAGCUUUCCCUCACUUGAGCUCUAAUGGAUUUGUUGUAUUCUUACAAUGUAGAAAAUAAUUAUUAUUUCAACCUUUCGUUCUAAAAAAUUUCGACAUAUUAAGAGGUGCUUGAUUACGUAACUUAAAGUUUAGUCAAAGGUAUCUUCGGAUACACUCAUACACGUAAAUGGUGAAACAUAUGAUUUGAUCCUCCUCUUAAUAUAUAGAAAUACAACAAAUCAUAUGUUGUUUUGGAUGGAGAAACGAUAUACAGAAAUACAAUCAAAUCAUAUGACUUUAUGGCGUCUUUUAAUAUCAAAUCCGAUAAUAUUUUUUUCUUUAAUUUAUUUGAUUUUUUUGCUAAUUUUACGUUUGACCGUAAUUUAUGCAGUAGAUAAAAUUUAGGAAACUGAUAUACACAAUUAGUGCAAUCUGGUUUCGGUUAAUAUAGGAAAGUUAGUAUUAAUUUAUAGACAAUUUUUAUGACCAAUUUAAAAUUAUAUACGAUAUUGUAGGGAUUUUUCCUCUUAAUUUCACCAUGGAAUAUAUUUGAUUGACUCAAUUCUUUGGCCUAAACCCUAUCAGUUAUAACUAUAUAUAUCAUACAUAACUGAUUUGUUUCCUUAGAAUUUGUUCCUUUUAUAUUUUAUUAUUAUGUCACCUAUGUUUCGUUUUAUCUUAUAUUCAUCAUUUAUAUUAUGAAAACAAUAAUUCUAUUGUUUAUGUUUACUUUUAUCUUAAAUUCAUACCUAAUUUUAUAUAAGUCUUUGCUUACUCUUAUAGAUUUAUUUCCACGAACGAUAUUUUUAAUACACCUAACCAAUAAUAUAUUUUACAAUGGGAUAUAGUGUACCACAUUAGACAAUAACGGCUAACAGACAUUUUAAAAUUUCUGUUCAUAAAAAGUAAAGAAAGUUUUUUAAAAAUAGUGUUUGAAGUUUAACAAAAAAAAUAUUAAGGACAUGAAGUAAGAAAAAAAAAACAAAAUCACUAUUUUAAAUGUUUUUACUGGAAAUGAAAAAAUAAUAAGAAAUUAAUGUUUUUGGAUCAUAGUUUUGGUCUAAAAAUAUAUUGAAAACUCCUCUAAUUAGUAUACAAAAAACUCCUCUAAUUAGUAUACAAAAAUUCAUGUUUGAUAACAGCGUAAUAACCUGAUUGUAUUUAAAAAAUAGUAAUUUUAAAUCAACUAAUAUAUAAUAAUAAAAUUUAAAUAAAUUGUGAAUAUAUAUUGAGAAUAUUUUGAUUAUCAUUUUACAUUGAGUUUUAAUCCAGAUUAAUAUUUUAGCUAUAGCUAGAUUGUAAGAUUUGUUUUUGCUUAUAACUAAACAAAUAAUAUAGUAAUAAUAAUUGCUGGAAAAAAUAUAGUAAUAAUAAUAUUUUCAUAGAUUUUUCAGUGUAUUUAACACAUGCAAAAUUUUUAGAAGUUUUUUUAUUUAAAGCAAUGAGUAUUUAAAUAAGCUUUACUUAGUACAGUUGUAAAAAUAGAUUAUAAUAAUAAUAAAAUAUAUUAUAAAAUAUUAAAUAACAUAAAAAUAAAAAAAUAAAUAUGAUAUAAAUAAUACAUAUAACAAAGAAAUAUGUGAUGUGGAGAUUACAAAUAUAUUUUCCUACUAACCUAAAUAUGUAAGAAAAAAUAUUUUGGAUUAAAAAAAAAUUGUAAGUUUUACUCAUUUCUGAUUCAAUUUCUAUUUAUAUUUUUAUAACAUAGAAGUAAUAUAUUUUAAUAUAGUUAUUAAAUACAACAUUAUUUGUAAUAUAGUGUAUGAACUUUAACAAAAAAUAUUAAAGACACGAAGUAAGAAAAAAAACUAAAUCGCUAUUUUUUCAAUGGAAAUUAAAAUAAUGAGUAUGACUGGUAACCAUCGCAAGAACAUUAAGAAUGAAUAAGAAAAUAAUGAAUAGGAAUAAAAUUUUGGGAAUGAUGAGAAAUGAUAGUUUUUUAUCAAAAUUAUCAAAAUUAACAAGAAACAAUUUUGUAUUAUAAUUCUCUACAAAAAAAAAAGAAUGAAAAGGAGCGAAGAUGCACAGCUAUACCUCAUAAAUGGUAAUUUUUAUAAGGAAUGUUGUGUUAUUCUCCUCAUUUCCUUGGUCACCAGUCACCCCCAAUAAAGUUAUAUCGAAUUAGAAAUAAUUUGUAUUUUCAAUUUGUGAUAUUAGUACAAGAUUUUAGAAUGUUUUUACUGGAAAUGAAAAAGUAAAAUAUUUUUGGAUCAUAGUUUUGGACUAAAAUAUAUUAAAAACUCCCCUAAUUGAUAUACAAAAAUAUAUUUUGGAUAAUCCCAUACAAUUUUAGAUAGUAAAAAAUUGUAAAUUUUACUCGAUUCUAAUUCAAUUUUUAUAACAUAUUAGUAAUAUAAUGUAAGAAAUAUUAAAUUAAAUGUUAUUUGAAUAAACCCGGGCGUAGCCCGGGCAAAAUCUCUAGUAGUAGUUAAUAGUAGCAGUUAAUAUAUUGAUGACAAAAAAAAGUAAUAGUUAUAUAUUGAGUAAAAGGGUAAUAAUUAAGAAUAUCAAAAUUUUAGUUAACGGUUAGGAAAGUUAUCUCGUUUGAAAAUAUGACUUUUGUUGUUUCCCUUGCUGCUUUUGACUUUUAAAGUUAUACAUUAUUUUUGACGAAUAAAAAGUUAUACAUUAUUUUUAACGAAAAAAAUAUCAUAGAUUAUUUUAUAUGUCAUGAUUUGGACGUUAACAUGUUAAAUAGUUUUACAGAAUUGCGACAUCAGGACAAAAUAUCGUCCCUAACAUUAUUUUAUACUUAAUGUAAUUUGACAACUUCUUUUCAAUUAAUGUAAUUUUUAAGAUGAAAUUAUACAAUUUUUAACAUUAAUUACUGAAAAGACACAUAUAUAAUUUGACAACUUCUUUUCAAUUAAUGUAAUUUUAGGAUAGAGCAACACAACCUUUGACAUUAAUAUAUAUGUGUAAAAACACAACUCUUGAACUAAAAUAAGUGAGAUUAGCGACAAUUUUACUUUGACAAAUGUAUGAUCAUAGACUAUUUAUGGAUUUUAUUUGAAUAGUUACAUCUUUUCAAUUUAAAUGGACGCACUCUUUUAACUUAAAAGUAAUUAUUUGAAAAGAUAUUUAUAUAAAUAGUUACCACUUUUCAGUUUUAAAUAGAUACUUAUAUGUUUAUGACAACUUAUCAUAUACAAAUCAGUGACCAUUUUUUUAUCAAGUAUUAAUGACCAUUUUUUUAUUUGUCACCUUUGAACAAUUCAAAUGGUGUCUUUUCAUAAAAGGAAAUAUAGCUAGUAACUUUUCACAGUAUUAAUUGUGACCUUUCACGAACAAAAUUAUAACCGUCACAAAAAGUAUUAGGUUAAUUAAACCGCAUGCAUGCAAAAUAUUUUUCAUUCCUGAGAAUCUUAAUAUGCAUGUAGAUGUGGACAAAACAAAGUUCCAGAGUAAAUCGCAUGCAUGCAUUCCUUGUAAACUUUUUGUUAUGAAUUCUAUAUAUAAUGUAAAGCAAAGAAUUCGUUCACGUAUGACUACUAUCGACAAAAAUCCAUAACAAAAGAAGAACAAAUUUCAAGCACUUGUUCAACCAUUGCACAUGUUCGUUUAUGUUUCAAAAGAAUCAAAACUUACAGAACCUUAAACGUUAUAACCAAAAAAUAUUUCCAGAAACUUAAAUGCCACAAUGCAACAUUUCCAGGUGCCGUGUGUAUAUAAAUUGUUUAUGAAUGUACACUUAAAUACAUGUUUUACGUUUAAGCUGGACAUGAUUCUUUACGUUUCUAAUCCAACAUCAGAAUUCAUAAAUGCAUGCAAAGCAUUAAUUCAUGCAUAAAAUGUUUAAUUAUUUUUACCAAAAAAAAUGUUUAAUUAUGCCGACCCUAGCUUCUAUCACGAACACUCACUAAUGGAUGUAAUAUGUUCGUUAAAAAGAUGUGAGAAGGAUACACGUGAUGGUUCGGGAAAAUAAAUUAGAAGUUAUGUUGAAGGAGAAAACAUGAUAGGAGAACUUGACUCUAGAUCAUAAUGGCAAGCGAUUUAUUCAAGCUCGGAAUAAAAAGAUUGCAGUUUGGACAAGACCUCCUGCUGGUUAUGUUAACUGUAAUGUUGAUGCAUCGUUCGAUCAUUUGAAUAUGUUUUCUAAAAAUUUGUAUCCAUGUAAUUGCUUAGAACUUUUUUCCACCAUUUUUUAUUAGUUCGAUUAGUGAAAUUUUUAUUUUGAAAAUGCAUGGUAGAGACUAUUUAUAGAUUUUAAAAAUCUGUUUGAAUAGUCACAACUCUUAAAUUUGAAUAGUCGCAUUCUUCCAAUUUAAAGAUAGUUAUUUUGAAAAAAUACUUAUAAGAAUAGUUACAACUUUUCACUUUUUAAAAGAUACUUAUAUGAAAAGUCACAACCAUUAAACAAUUUUUAGAAAAGAUACAACCUUCCAACAUUAAACUUUUAGAAAAGACACAACUUUUUAGAUAUCUUUUACGAAAGAUACAACCUUUCAACAUAAGUGGAUUCAUAAACUUUGGAAUUAAUUGAGAUUGCUAUUAUUAGUAGAUUGAUAACUUCAAAUACCGCCUUAUUCUUGUUUCUACCUGCUCAAAAACAAUAAGCUUUAGUCAGAUCUAUAUUAUGUAAAUCUUUUCAACUUGUAUGGGAUCUCUCUUCCUCCGAAAAUGGCGAUAACUGUCACGCAGAACGCUUGUUCCUAUCAUCUCAUGGAAUCUCAUCUAAUUAACUUCACUACCUCACACCACAACAAAAAAAAUUGUCAGGAAAAUUAACAUUGGCAUAUAAUUAAAAGGAGACUCACCUUUCUCAAGAUGCUUAGUGUAUUAACCAGAUAUAAACUAUUUGCAUUGAAGUUGAUAAAGAAAAACUAUUUGCAUUAAAGAUAUCUCAAUAUAUUAAAAAAUAAUAAAAGAACAGAAGAGGAAACAAGAUAAGUUUCUUAAAUUAGAAACUUAAAAAAGUCAAAAAUGCUCUUGGAACAUUUGCUUUCAUAUCUAGUAAUCUAUGUAUUUUAUAAUUUUAAAUUUAACUACGCAAUGAAACUGUAUUAAAAAUUAACUAUGUAAUGGAACGUUUUAAUAAAAUAUGACCACAAGCAUGGAUUUGUCCAGCUUAAGUUUAGGAUCGGCCCUGUCUCACAGUAUCAGUAGCAUAUUAAACUAACAAUUUCUGUUUUGGAUUCAGCGUUUUGGGCUGGAGGAAGAUUCUGGGAACUUGCCAAGGAGGGUUUACUUUACCAACCAGUUCUCUGAGUAGUCCACAAUAAGAAAAGGGAGAAAGUUAUUUUUAGAAAAUUGUAUAUUUUUCUUACCAGGUAAAAAAGUUGCGAAACAUAGUGGGCAACUAUUCACGAGAAAUAUGUCCAAAACCCUUUAAGUGUACUUUCUGGUAAAGGCGGAAUAAUUUAGGGUACCACACUGAUAAAUUGAAGAUCAAAUUGGUUAAAAUAGCCCAAAACAAACAAAGAACUAAAUUAGUUGUGGUUCUCACGAGACUAUUCGCAAGUGGACGGCAAACUACAGAAGAUCACUAUUAGGAAAAAGAAAAUGGCUACAAUAGUAAAAUGUUAGAGAAGGACUGUAUAUAGGGAACACCUUAAACCUAAAAGUGAAUUUAAACUAUAAGAACUUUGAAAAAGAACAAAGAAAAAAACAUGGCAAAGCUGCAAAGUCAAGUUGGGUCGGUGAAAAUAACAACCCACCUUACCCCCACUUCACCGUCCUCUAUGUUUUGAACAUGUGCAUUUCUUUGUUAUGACGAGCUAGUUCUUGACCACUUAAUUGUUAUAGUAGCCUGAAAUAAGACGAGUUCUUGACAAAUUUUUUUUUAUCUCGUUUAGUCGGCACGAAGCUAUCAAAUAUAUGGUUCACCUAUUUAUAGAGCACACAACUUUUUUUGGAGACAGCUAAUUGGAGAAUUCUGUAUUAUUUAAGGUUUGUUAUUUACUGUUGCUAUUCGACUGCCAGUAAAAACUUAUAUCUGUAAUUACAAUUCUAAAGUGUUUCUUUUAAAUAAAUAACAUUCUGUGGCCUCUAUCAUACCUCUUGAUUCAUAUCAAAUUUCCCGUAGAAUCUAUUUAUUAUUAUUUAAAAUAUUAUAAUCCAUAACAUAUAUUUUGUAUGGACCCAUGAUAUAUUAUUAAUAGACAUGUAUAUCUAUAAUAUUAUUUCCGAACUGAUUUUUGCACUCAAGCUCUCAUCUUAAAAGUUAGAGCAGUUAAUAUCGUUUAUACUCACAAUGAAUAAAAAUAUAUAAAUUAUUUAAAAAGAUGAAUUUAUUUUUUAUUAAAUAAGUAACUAAAAUUAAUAGUAAUAAGAAUUAUCCAAGAUCUAAAAAUAUAUUUUAAAAUAAAAAUAUAGCUCCUAUAUACAUUGUGUUAUCAAAAAAUAUUUUAAUAAAAAAUUAAAAAUAAGAAAAAAAGAAAACACAUAACAAAAUAUUAAUAAAGUAAAAAAUUUAUUCUUAAUUUUAUAUAAUUAAAAAUAGAAUAUUGAAAUAUUUCUAGGAUUUAUUUAUUAAUAAUGAAUAUAGUGUGCAAUUUUUUUAAAAAAAUUAUAAUACAUAAAAAAUUUAAAUGAAAAUAUAAAUAAUAAUUUAUUAUAUUAACAAUUUAAUUAUUUAUGCAUGUAUUAAUAAUUAUGUAUAAGAUGUUUAUGUCCACAUGUGUAAACGAAAUACCUGAUAAAUAUAUAAAUUUAGAAGAAGAACUAGAGGAAAUAUUUAGUAAAAAAUAGAAUUAGAGGAAAUUAUAUAAUAAUGUCAUAAAUCGUUUAAAGAUGAUAGUUUUUAAAAAUUCGUAUGCAGCCAUAUAUUCCACGUAGUCGAACUCUAAAAUGAUUCUUUAUCUUACAACUUUUGACACCAAAAAAUAAACUUUUUUCCCAUUGUAAAAGUCAGGGACCAUGAUUGUGAUCUAUGAAUUAGCUUGCAAUGCAACCACCACACCAGGUAUUCUCGUCAACGUCAACCAUCGUUUAUUAAUUAACGAAUUAUAUAUAUGUUUUGAAACAUUACUAAACUAGAUAGUAAUCCGCGCUUUGCGCGGGAUAAGAUGUCUAUAUUAAUGUUAAAAUUAUAUAUUAUGAUUAUGUAUAACAUAAAGUAUACUUUAACCGAUCGAUAGUUAGAUAGAACUAAAAGUAUGAUUAUUAUCAGGGGUGAAGCUAUAGACUUUUUAUAAUGAGUUCACUAAUAUUAAAAUUUAAUAUACGGUGUUUGCAAGUUUGAAAAGAAGCUUUAGAAAAUAUUUUUUUAUAUUUCACAUAUUUUGUUGUAGUAGUUAUGGACUUAGAGGUUUAACACAUAAAAUCGAAAUAAAAGUGGAUCAAUAACAUAUUAUAAGAAAAGCAAUAAUUGUGUGAAAUAAAAAAAAGUAUAGCUCCUUUAAAUUCAAAAAAAAAAUAGUUUCAUAAUAAAAGAAAUUGAAGGUUAUUUGACUCUCUAAAUUGUAAAUGUUGUUCUAGAUGCGACCAGCACGUGAGACUUGCUGGUGGUUCGUUCCUGGAAGUUUCUUCUCAUCUUCAAGAUCGUCUAAUGCAGAGCUCUCAUGGCGGCGAAAGUGGUGACACUCGGAUGCUUAUAUUGCUUGCUCGAGAAGACUAAUACGCUAAGCCGAAACGACUUACAGUGAUUCAGUUUCUUCGAAACAGAGAUCACCUCAUCGAGCAGUAACAAAACCGAAUACAUCACAUUUAUCUAGAAAUAGAUUUUCAACGUCAUAUUUCAGCAAUGAGAGGCGGUUCUCAAGAACGUGAGUGCUCUGCUAAAUGCAUGAAAACAUGUAUGGAGAAAAGAGUUUUUUCAUUAACACUUGGCAUCAUACUAAAGUUUCAUCGCUUUGUCGUCUCUACGGAUCUGUCGACUUAAUAGCGAUAGAUCAGAUGGAUUAGCUUUUUUAACAUAAACGUAUAGAGGAAUAAGGAAUCUUAAUUGAUGCUAUGAUUAUAUUGAGAAGAUUGAUAAAUCAAAUAAUCAAACUUGAAGCUGAAGGUUUAACGUCGAGAAAAGUAUACAUGGUUUGAAUAUUUUUUAAAGGAAUGUUAGUGUGAACGCAUUAAAUGCACAGUUUUGGUGAGAAAUGUUCUCUGCGUGACAGCUAAACGUUUUACUAAAUAAAAGUUUCUCGUGAAGCCACGUCACCACGUCACAUUCUUUGCCAAUAAACUUUUAAUGUAAGUUUUAAAAAUGCUUCUCCUUUAAUAUAUAGGAGAUAUAUUUUCGCUAGCAAACGAUUAGAUCUUUUCUAAAUUGGGAUGUAAACAAGUUUACAUUUAAAUAUUAAACAUGGCUUACAAUUUUUUGGCUUAUCUUAUACUACAUGUCACAUGUUUCGUUGGAAGCACAUCAGCUGUGAUCAUAUUUUAUUGUAGUUGGGUUGAGUCGGGUCAUCUCUUCCGAUAUUUGGUUUACUCUUUGAACACGUUGUAAAAACAAAAAACUUUGAAAUUAGGUUAUUUUGCGACAAGAUGAAACUUUCAUUUGGCUCCAUAAGCUAUUGUUUUUGGAUUUUUAGUUUUCAUUUAUUGGAUAGUCACGAAAAUAAUGAGUCUCUUGCUACAAUAACGUUAUUUGGUUGAUUAGUAGUACUUAGGCAAUAGAUUGUUUGUCCAUUCCACUAAACCCUAAUAACGACAACAAAAAGUUUAAUAACAACAACUAAAAAGUACAAACAGUGCGUUGGACAGUUUAGCACAAGAAAUUAAUUCCGUUGUGUCUAAGUUCUACUUUCGCUGGAAAAUGUUUUACAUCAUGUAAUAAUGUAGACUAGUAACUAGUAAUUAAUUACACGUGGGUGGUUUAGUGGUAGGCGGAAUUUCGUGAGCUAAGCGAUCUGGAUUAGAAAAAAUCUCACGACGCUAAAUAUGUGUGGCCAAAUGACAUGGAUCUCUAAUUCUCAUUGCGACUAACGGGUAGACUCUAACGAGACUAAUCGGUUAGAUCUAGAUCCGUCGGAAGCCCAGGGUUAUCAAAAAUAAAACUAAAAGAUAUUAACAACGGUAUCUCAUGCCUAUGAAAAAUCAGGUUCGGUAGAAAUUCUUUCCGGUUAAAGAAAAAACAACAACCAAAAAGUAGAAGAUAAAACAGAACAGAGCCCAAAGCCUCGUCACAUCUGCCUAUAAAUUCCCGUCACCCACUCACAGUCUUACCACAUCAAUUCUCUCAAACUUUCUCUCUUUUCUUAAAGAAAAUACAGAGACAGACCCCUUAAUUUAGUGAAGACGUAGAACAAUGACGAAGGAAGUGGUUGGGGAGAAGGGAUCCUUCUCAGGCAAAGACUAUCAAGACCCACCGCCUGAGCCUCUAUUCGACGCUACUGAGCUUGGGAAAUGGUCUUUCUACAGAGCUCUCAUCGCUGAGUUCAUAGCCACUCUCCUCUUCCUCUACGUCACCGUUAUGACUGUCAUUGGUUACAAGAGCCAGACCGAUCCAGCCCUCAAUCCUGACCAGUGUGCAGGUGUUGGCGUCCUCGGCAUCGCUUGGGCCUUUGGGGGCAUGAUCUUUAUCCUCGUCUACUGCACUGCUGGAAUCUCUGGUCUGUUUCUCACUUUCUCUAAUUAUUUUCAUAGAUUUGCUCCUAGACUGUCACUUUUUUUUAAUCUUAGAACAUAAUAACUUACUGCUGGCUCAAUUUUAUAUAUGAAUCUGUUAUAUCAUGAUUGAGAAAUGUAAUUCCAACAGAACAUGAAGUCGGUUUGGUUAGAAUGUCUUGAUAUUUUCGACUUUUUCGCUUUUAAGAUUUGUAUUAAAGUAGGUUAUUCGUUUAUAUCAUAAACAAUGUUACAUUCAUUUGUGAUGUAAUUUGGUUAGUGUGGUUUGUUUUAGCUCACAUGAAUGUUUUGGUUCAACUUAUAUAAUGGUAUAGGUUGACACAUAAUGGGGGGUUUGAGAUAUGUAUUAAAUUCAGUUACUCGUUUAAAUCACAAUUCAUAAACAAUGUUACAUUCAUUUGUAAUAAAAAUAGCUUUGGUUUGGUUUGUUUUGUUUUAGCUCACAUCAAUAUUUUGGUUCAACUUAUUUUAAUGGUAUAGGUGGACACAUAAACCCGGCGGUGACAUUUGGACUAUUGCUGGCUAGAAAAGUGACGUUGUUGAGAGCAGUAAUGUACAUGGUGGCUCAGUGCCUUGGUGCCAUUUGCGGCGUGGCUUUGGUUAAGUCCUUCCAGUCUUCUUACUACACCCGCUACGGUGGCGGCGCAAACGGUCUCUCUAACGGUUAUAGUGUUGGCACUGGUGUUGCCGCGGAGAUCAUCGGGACAUUCGUCUUAGUCUACACCGUCUUCUCCGCCACUGACCCCAAGAGGAGUGCGCGCGACUCUCACGUCCCUGUAAGCUCACUAUCUCUUGCAGCUAGAUAAUUUCACCGCACUAAAAUGUAUGAUAUUAAUAUAUCACUGAAAUGAUGUUGUAGCAAAAUUAUUAAUCGGCCAAGAGUAGAAUAAUAUGCAUUUAAUGGGGGCAAGGACACGUAUAGCAUGUUUUUCUUGGUUGAUAUUCGAGAUCUCUUUUUAUUGAUAUUUUAAACCGUGAAAUUUUUUGAACUUCAAAUCCAUAAUUUCUCAAGUUCUCUAUGUUCGGAAUCAGUUUUUACAUAUUAUGAUUUAAAAAUUACUAAUUUUUUUGUUUAAAAAGUGGUUUGAACUUUGAACCCAUGACACGAGAAUCAUCUCACCACUAAACUAUCAAUACUUCGGUAGACCUUUUUUUUCUUUGUCUAGUGGUUCAGCUAAUCGGUGUUCAAGUAGUUAAAAUUCUGAUAGACCGGUUAUCCGCUUUCGAAUUGUGAAUUUAUCUAGGUCUAAAGAUAUUACAUCUUAGUAAAUAAUUUGCUCUGUUAAGCUUAAGUAUAUUUGGAUUUUUGAAAAUUUGGAUUUUUGGAAAUUUGGACUUUUUUUGAUGUCGAACCAUAUAUUACGUAGAUUUUGCCAGUCUAACUUCUAGAUUCUCCAUUAUAACAAACGUCAGAAAAGGACAUUGAUAAUCUAAACUUUUUGUCUUUCACGCCUAUCUCCAUCAUAUGUGAAUGUCCUUUAUUGUAAAUGGUCCCAAGGUUCAUUUGCAACCACGUAUCCUUCUCUCAAAGUUUGAGACUCAAACCUAACUAUAUUAAUAAUAUUUGGAGGCUUACAUUAUUUGUCUCGUGAAUAAGUAAUAAGUAAUAGUAUCAUAUAUCUUUUGUUACUGUUGAUGAUGUGGUAAAUUGAAGGUAUUGGCUCCAUUGCCAAUUGGAUUUGCGGUGUUCAUAGUUCACUUAGCUACAAUCCCAAUCACGGGCACUGGCAUUAACCCUGCAAGAAGUCUCGGAGCUGCAAUCAUCUACAACAAGGACCAAGCUUGGGACCAUCAUGUUCGUAUUACCAUCUAAAAAAUUUCACUCCUUCGUAUUCGAUCUCACCUUUGGACAAAGUUUUAAUAACGUUUUUAAAUUUCUACAGUGGAUAUUUUGGGCGGGUCCGUUUGCGGGUGCAGCCAUUGCGGCUUUCUACCAUCAGUUUGUAUUGAGGGCUGGUGCGGUGAAGGCGCUCGGGUCUUUCAGGAGCCAGUCUCGCGUUUAGCUUUGACUCUCGUCAUCAAAGAGAGCAAAGAAAGAAGACAAUAAAGAGCGGCUUUUUAUGUAAUGUUUAGAUGGUUUGGAACCUAGCGACGUGUAGUAUCUUAGUUCUAGCUUUCGUGAAGAGAUGUUUUGAGUGUGACUUGUGGGUCAACUUUGAAAUGCUACUUCUCUUAUAUCUAUGUCUGCUAUUUUAUGUUGCUCUAACUUUUACUAGUUUUCUGAAUUCCUUAUAUGAACUUUCCACGUGAGAGUAUAAAGGCCACCCUAUAUUUACACGUGGAAGAUUAAGGUUACUUUAAGAAAUUAUUACUAUAAUUUAAGUGUUUUGUUAAGUGUCUUUAAUUAAAAAAUGCACUCAUGAAAACACACACAAGUAAUCAAACUAGAGAGAAUUUACAAGAUAUCUAAGUUUAAGUGUAGGUCAUUGAUUUUGAUAUAAUUAGAGAAAUAACAAUUGUGUCUCGUUUCAUUCGGUUAUAACUCUCUGUCCUACAAGUAGCAGGUGAAGAGAAGAAGGUAAGUCCACGUCGUCCACGUGAAAUAUGUGUAUUUAUCGGUGACAAAUGAUAAAGAGUUACGUUGACAUCAACUUAUAUGACCCACAAUUUAUAUGACCUUUGCAUAAUUUACGAGAAAAAAAGAACCACGUCACUUUAAUCUUUUACCACAUAAAUAAACACAAGUAAAAGAAGAUGAAUGCAUGAAGAAGUUAAUGUUUACCAGAUUGUGUGUAUACUAUUCUAUCUCGGUUACGCACUCAAACCUUUACUGAAAAUUAUACAACCACUGAUUAAUAAAGCUAAACCCUAAUCAAGAAAGCAUAAACCCAAAUAGAAUGUAUAUAAUAUGGUUUACUAUACACAAACCUCUACUGAGUAAAUCUAAACCCUAGGCAUGAACCUAUAAACACAAAUAUAAUCUAUAAAUUAUUUUCUAAUAUUGGACACUUGAAGGUACACUUACUUGGUUAGCAUGUUGCAUAUCUUCUAUUACAUAUAGUCUAAAUAAUAUAGUAAACAAAUGUUCCAAAUAAUUAAAUUUGUCCAUUGAUGUAUCCAUAGUAUGAAAUGCAAACAGUAAGCUCUCCCCACCCGAAAAAUACAACAAUACAAGAUACACCACUAAUUAGUAAAACUAAAUCCUAAUCAAGGAAAUAUAAACCCAAAUAGAAUGUAUAUAAUAUGGUUUACUAUACCCAAACCUCUGUUUAGUAAAUCUAAACCCUAAGCAUGAACCUAUAAACUCAAAUACAAUCUAUAAAUUGUUUUUCAAUAUUUGACACUUGGAUGCCAUUUACUUGGUUAACAUGUUGUAUAUCUUCUAUUCCAUAUAGUCUAAGUAGUACAGUAAGCAAAUUUUACAAAUAAUCAAAUUUGUCCAGCACUCGAAAAAUCUGAAUUUUAUAUUACAAUCAAUCACACAAAAUUACGGAGAAGAGAACUAUCAAAUUUGAAAACAUGACAUAUUAUUAUAUCCUUAAAAAAUAAUAUAGAAAUAUGUCUCAAAUAGUAUGGUACCCUUACAUAAAUAGGUAAACCAAUAUAUAUAUAUAUAUAUAUAUAUAUAUAUAUAUAUAUAUAUACUAUACUAUUCCUUUCACCGAAUAUAGUAUGGACGGAGAGUUCAUCCUCUUCAUUUUUUUAGACAUGUUGAUGGUGAUACACAGUUACUAGGAUCAUAAUCAUUAUUCUUCAUCACCAUAUAGAACUCGUCUUCAUCUCCUUUCUUUUUCCGACAAGGCGACAUUUUUACCGAUCCGUCGUCAUUAUUCUUCACCACUGUAUCUAGAAAACAAUACCAGAAACAAAAACAUAAUAUUAAAGUAAAAGCAUGAUUGUAAGUAAUCAAUGAUUUAAGAUAAGAAGAAAAAGAAAUAAAAGAGCUUUUGUGUCUGCUCAGUGUAAUCCUUCGCCAUGAACACAAUAGAGUUCGUCGGAACGCGCUAGACAUCUGGACAAAAUUGAUUAAUCUUUCUAAUAUUUACUAAUAAAAAUAACAUUUAAAUAUAUGUGUGAUUAUCAAAAAGUAUGACUAACUAAGAGACACGAGUGAGUAACUUUGCCACAUUAAUUAUUAUUAAAUUUUGUUUUUUGUUUGUAGGUUUCCGGUUAUUCAUAAGGGCAGUAUAGCUAUUAUUUAUAAAAGAGAAGUGGUGUAUCAGUGCGUUAGGGUAUUUAGAUAUCUAGUGAAUUAUUAAUUGUUUGAAGGUUAUACAUCCUAGUUCCCCAUUAAACUAUGUAGGUAUCCAUGCGAAUGCAGUACGGUACAAACUCUAUAAGUUAGUAAUGUUGAAAUUGUAGUAUUUCAUUAACUUAUAGUUAUUAAUUUACAAAAGUUUUAAAAAAUUAUAUUCUAGGAUAAAUAUUUUUAUAAUAUAAAAAGAUAAUUUUAUUGUAUAUACAUUAAUAAAUGUUAGAAAUUUGAUUUUUAUAUUAAUUUUAUUAUAUUAUUUGGUGUAUAUAAAACAGUGUUUUAUAAAAUUUAAAUGAGGUCUUAGAUAUAAUUUUACUAAAUAUUUUAAAAAUAUAUUGAUGUGUUAAAAAAUAUAAAGAUGAAUUUCAUUGUAAAUAUAAAACAAACAAUUUAAUAUUUUAUUUUUAUUUAUAUAAACUGUAUAUUUAUAAAUUGUUAAUUUAUUAUUUUAACGGGACUAUGUAUUUACAUAUGAUAUAAAUUAGAGAAAUUCUCUAGGAUAACAUUUUUUAAGUGUUUCUCAUAAAAAUAGUCCUCAAUGAAGAAAACGACCAAAAUAAGUUUUAUUUAAAAGUAAAAAUAUAUUUUUACCUUAGAGUUAACUAAUCUAGACUUAGGGUUUAGAGUUAAAGGGUGAAGUUUUAGGGAUAUAGUUUCAAAUUAAAAAAAAAAAGAAAUAUUAAAAUUUCAAAAUAAAAAUGGGCUAUUUUGAUCAUUUUUUUACUUGAUGCUAUUUUUGUGACAAAAACUUAAAAUGGUUAUUUGAGAGAAUUGUGCUAUAAAUUAUCUUAUUAUCUUAUCGGUUUGUGUCAUAUUUUGAAUUGAACCAAUUUGGAAUCGAUAAAAUUUAUUAAUUUAGCAUGUUUAUUAAUUUACUAUUGUAUUUGUAUUCAUUACAGUAAGUUUUUUUUUUCUUUCCUUUUGAAAGGAAGCCACAUGCUCAAUCAAUAUUCAUUGAUAAUUGAAUAACAGAAGAAUGCGUACAAAGAUUUGGUAACGCUUCUGAUUUUGAUAGACGUGCGAGAAAGAACACGUGCCUUGUUAAGUACGCAAAAAUGAUUAUUGUUUCUAUUAUACUUUGUUGUGUUGCCUAUUAGUUUGGCAGGUACUAUCACAAAUACUGUUGGCUGACUCAUAGAGUAUUGUUAUUGGAUUGGAAAGUGAUGGAAAAGACGCACUGAGAAGUCAAAUUAAGUGGCUUAUCAUAGAGGACCUUAACAAUGUCUUUCAUGCGCAUUAUUUGAAACACAUGAUGAAAAUAAGUUUGGCACAAGUCAAUCGACAAAGCUAAUCUCUCCAUUCAACCACAUUUCGUUAUUGAAAAGCAAGAUCUUAAUAAUCUUUCCUAUGAAAUACAGGGAAACAUCAUCAUUUGCAUUUAAACUCAACCACACAUAUUUUAUUUUUUCGUCUAUGGUUUAACUAGUUUAAUCGUUGGUGUGGUGUGGGAUGUAUAAACUAUGUUCAAUUUCAAGGGGGUGUUUGCUUAAGUGGCUUUCUGUUGAUUAGUGAAACAUUGAAAAAACGUAACCAUUACAAAUCACAUUGGAUAACCAUUAAUAUCCUGGUUGCUAGAUGAUGACAAAUGUUAAAUAUGUUUUGUUUUGUGGGCCUGUGGCCCAUUAGUUGGAACAAAAAUGGAGCCCAAGUAUGAAGAAGAUUACACCAAAUUGGGGUUUCUUGACAAAAAACAAGAAACUAGAAGCUUCUUUCUCAACUUGUCGCCGAAGAUCACAACCAGAGGUCUCGUCAAUGGCUGCUAGGUUUCUUAGUCUGAGACGCGCUUUAUCUCUCUACCUCACUAACCAACAACCUCGGCUUCCUCUGUUUCAAGGUAUCAUCUUUUCCCUUCUCCAACUUGCGUUAUCUUUCAAAUCAUGAUGUGCAAAAAGGAUCCUUUUAUUGUUAUUUUGAUUCCUUGUUACAGUUUAGAGCAUGACAUAACAUAAAAACUCGGCCUUUAGAUUUUUUUUCAAUCACUGAAUCAUAGGCAGAGAUGUGUGUAGAAGAGAUAGGGCCUCGGGAUUUGAUGUUUUGGUUUUACACUAGACAGAGAUUUGUAUAAAUAAGGGAGAUUUGUGUAAAUUAUAAUCAAGCAUUUAAAUGGUUCUCUCAUUUUUUUUGAAAAAACAAUCUCAGCAGGUAGGCUUUCACAAUCAAAGCCACUCUUGAGCAGAGAUUAUGCAUAUGUUGGAUUACUUCAGAGGCACUUCUGUGUAUCCCGUGAGGCUAGUGAAGCUGCUGCAGUAACCAAUAGCUGCUGCAACUCUUCAAACUCUGUUUCCGAACUUUCCAAAGCUCCUUCCACCUCCCCUGCAACAACAGCCGCUGAGGAUCUGAUUGUGAAGUACAAGUCCCAGCUGAAAAUAAACCCGAGGCAUGACUUCAUGAUGGUGUUUACCUGCAAGGUAUGCGAGACUAGGUCUAUGAAGAUGGCCAGCCGAGAAUCAUACGACAAGGGGGUUGUCGUGGUGCGAUGUGAAGGGUGUGAUAAUCUGCAUUUGAUUGCGGACCGUCUUGGUUGGUUUGGAGAACCGGGGAGCGUGGAGGAGUUGCUCGCUGCUCGUGGGGAUGAAUUCAAGAAAGGUCCCAUGGAUUCUCUUAGCCUUACUGUUGAUGAUUUGGCUGGAAAUAAGAUAUCCAAUGAAUAGAGCAAGAAGCUCUUCGUUGGUAUUAGCUAAUUAUAUUCACUACUAGGACCUGAACCUGUGGAGAACAUAACAUAAUCUGUCUUUUUAUAUUAAUUUUUGAAAUAAAAUUGGUAUUAUUUACUAUGUGAAUACACAAGAGAAUAACGUUGAAAAGCAUCUUUUUCAUUCUUGUUAUUCUACUCAUGGCUGCCACAUCUUGGUUCGAGAGGUGUCGCUUUGGUCAAAACCAGUUUAUAUAAGCGCCUUCGCAAUCCGCCAAUCUCCAUGGCGAUGGGACAAACAUUGUUAACAAUGUUUGUGAAAAAAGUUGACAGAAAGCAUAAAGUCAUGAUUCUACUGAUGAGAAAAGAGAGAAGAGAAAAGAGUAGUGAAAAUAAAAUUAAAUAAGUGAAAUGAAAUUACUUGUCAGAUCAUCGGUCAUGGCCCAGUUAGGAUGAAGUAUUAAAAGAUCAAAUGAGUGAUGAAUCGAUUAGACUUUGUAGUUGCAGCCUCCGGACUUUACAUGUUAAAAUGGAAAUCAAGGCAACAUAGUGUAUGAGAAAUAUGUAUUUUAUUUCGAGACUAACUGGUUAGAUUUGGUGUAUAUAUGAUUUUAUAAACUCGUUAGACCGACUGAUUUCUAUCUUAAAGAUUAAUUUUUUUCUUUUAUUUUUUUGUCAAACCUCAAAGAAAGUUUUGCUUUGUUUUUUUACAAGAAAAAUUUUAAAUAUAGACAGACAUAUGGUUGGAUGUAGUUGUUUUCUUAGAAUAGUAUUUCUAUGGACCAAAACUUAAUUUAAGUUAUUUAAGUAGAACUAGGCAAAUAAACCGAACCCAAAAACCAGAUCCGAUAAAAAUAAAUCUGAACCCAGCAUAAAUACCAAAUGAAUCUUGUUUUAUGGUAUCUCGGGUUAUGGGUAUUAUUCGAACAGAACCCAAACCUAAAUGAAUAUCUGGUAGAACUCGAAACAUUCAAAAUUCCCAAAAAGAACCUGUACUAAACAUGAUAUCAAUUCCUAAUAUGUAUUCAAAAUAUAUUGAACAUCUAAAAUAAUUAACUAUUUUAUGAAGAUUGAUAGUUGAAGGUGGAAGUUGAAGGUUGAAGUUUUUUCAUUUUGUUUUUUUUUCAUUGAAUAAUGUUUUUCAUUUUAUGAGAACUUGGUUUUCGUUUUAUGCUUUCACUUAUUUGUUUUUUUUCAAUCAAUAACUAUGUUUACCUUUCACUUGAUUUUGAAUGAUCAAAUUUGAUGUUUCUUUCUUUUUUUUGAACCGAUUUUAUUUAUGUUUUGGUUACAAAAUAUGUACAAAUCAAGUAUUUUUAAAUUGAAGAACCGAUUUUACUUAUUUUUUGGUUACAAAAUGAUAUAAAUCAGGUACAUUUAAACCAAAGAACCGAUUGGGAUCUGAACCCGAAAGUACAUCGGGUUGUACCAGUUUUUUAAAGAUUUACUAACUCUGACCUAAACCUGAUAGAACCUGAACCGGUCCCGAACCAAAUUUUCAUAUAACCCGAAUGUGACUGAUUUUGAUAAACCCGAAAAAACGAAACCCAAUUGGGAUCCCGAAUGCUCAGGCCUAUAUUUAACCAUACUGUCAGUUGAAAAAAAAUACAGCAUCGUCUUCACAGGCUUUCUUAUUUCUUUUAGUACUAAUUUUCCAAGUAGAUUCAGCACGUUCUAAGUUGUAUGAGAUUAGUAAUUUCACAUGUGCAUUAUGAAUCUAUUGACGAUAUAUGAUGUUCACGUAUAACUACGUUACGUUCAGCUUCAAGGCGUGUUUGCCUAACGUGGCUUUUUUUUUUGGUAAUUAUUCAAACCAUUCUUAUACUAGGUAUUGUAGGAGAUGAUUAAUUUCAGAUCCCAGCUGUUAUCUUGCAAACCAAUUAUAGUAAAUGAAUUCCAUAAGAGUUCAAGACAUUUACAAACAUGUGCGAAGAGAAUAUUUUCCAUAUGUAUAUAUCUAAAAUUUGAUGAUAUAUAGUAACUUUCUAUGCUUUUAUAAAUGUUUUAUUGUAGACAGCCAUUAUCAAUCUCCUGCUUAUUAGAUACCAAAUGUUAACUAUGUUUUUUUCUAUCCUCAAGUAGAACAGAAAAAGAAAGGCCGGUCUACUAGUGGGCCUCUGUCUGUGUCUCAUUGGUUGAACCGCAACAUGUUCGGUCCGAUGGAGCCCAAAUAUGGAAGAAGAUACACACCAAACUCGAAGCUUCUUUCUCAAACUUUGUCGCCGAAGACUAGAGAAUCUUUAAUUUCCUUACCCAGAAACCAGAUUCACACCCAACCCCCCUUCUUCGAAAGAAGACAAGCCAUGUCGGAUUCUUUAGUGACGGCGAUAUACAGUUGGUUCACACCGACAGUACUAUUCAUCUUCCUCAACUUAAUAAUUGGCACCAUUGCAAUUUCCUCUUCUCUAUCUUCCAAAUCCAACGAUCCAAACCAAACUCAGAUCCAACGCUCUCCUUCCGUGAUUCACCGUCUCAAGUCCAUUAACUUCUCCUCUUUCACUUCCCCACCUGACAAAACUCAUCUCCAGUUCCCUCCUGUCGCAACAACUCCAGACAUCGACAAAGAACCAGCUUCCAUCGAACAGAACCAGCCUUUUCUUUCUAGAUCUCCUUCUGUUCUCCACCGAAUCAAAUCUUUCAACCUCUACAAUUACAUUUCUCAAGAACCCAUCACCGUCGCUGAAUCGCCGCCGCCGCCGCCGCAACCGUCUGUCCCCGCCGUUGAGGAAGAGGAAGACACAAGUCCGAGCCUUGAGGAGGUUUACAGCAAGCUGAAUCUGCACCAUGUGGCUCGCACAAAGUCUGAUACCGAGCCAGCUGCUGGAGUUAUCCCACCGAAGCUUCCCAAGAAGAUGAAGAAAUCAGCAAGUACCAAAUCUCCUUUCUCUCAUUUCGAGGAAGCGGAAGACGCCGUGGAGGCUCGUCGGCCGGAGACGGUUAGGGUCACGAGGGUGACUCCAGUGGAAGAGGCUGAUGAACAAGUAGACGCCAAAGCUGAUGACUUCAUCAAUCGUUUCAAGCAUCAGUUGAAGUUACAAAGGAUUGAUUCCAUCACCAAGUACAAGGAGAUGGUCAAGAAAAGAAACGACAAGUGAAAUAAAAAUUAUGGGGUCUUUUUAUUAAUUAUGUAUUAAUUUUGAGGACUGUUUUUAUAAUUACCUGGUUGUAUUCUCAAUUUGAUGUAAUGGUUUUUGUUCUUCCAGUGUGCUUAUCCAAUUUGUGAACUGUGACUGCUCUCUUCUUCUUUCUUUUGUUAUGGUAGUAGGUUCAUGUGAUUGCCUGUUGUGGUAAUACUUACUGUUUUAGCUGCAUGUAAUUUAUAAUCAGACAUAUUAAUGGUUCUCUCAUUUUCUGAAAAUAAUCUCAGCAGGAAACUUUCACCAGGCGUGUGGACCUUCGGAACCCAUUUGGUUCGGAUCGAGUUUUUGGACUUGGUUCAGUCCCUUAACUCGUUUGGUCUGGGUUUGGUUAAUAACCACAACUAGAACUUGAACACUGGGUAGAAAAUAAAAUAGUUCCUUGUAUUUUUUAUGUUAGUUUAGAAACAAUAAUGUACUUUUAACAUUAUUUUAAGAAACAAUAUUGGUAUUAUAAUUUAAUGUGAAUACAAGCAAUCAUAGAGCACAAGAGAACGACGUUGAAACAUAUAUUGUUGUUAUUCUACUUACGACUGCCACAUUUGGUGGUCUUAGUUUGAGAAUUGUAGCUUUGGUCAAAACAGUUUAUAUAUAAGUUCCUUGGCAAUCCUCAUAUUUGACAGUAUGACCAACAUGGUUAACAAUGUUGUAAAAAAAAUUGAGAGAAAACAUAAACUCCUGAGUCUACUGAUGAGAAUAGAGAAGAUGAAAGGAAAAUACAUGCGCAACAAAUUCUCAAGUCCGAGAAUAUAAGACAAACCAAUAACAAGGUUUACAUCAACGUUAUUUAUUACUAGUAGCAACCAGCAGAGAAGUCAUAGUGAAAGAGAUGGUGGCUUUGGAUCUUCAAUAGCACCGUUCAAUGCAGCCUUGAGUCCUUAGGGAGAAUGAGAUUUACCUUUGCCUGAGACUUUUUUUUUCCUUUGCCUGAGACUUGAAUAGAUAAGGCUUAGUCUUCAUCAUCCAUGGAUCUUUUUAUGUUUCCUGCUUGGCUCUUGAAUUCUUGAUGCAGCGGUUCUUUCGCCAGUUUGGCUAUUUUAUUUUGCUUGUUGAACAAUAAUGUUGUAAGAUAUGAUUACAUAUUAAGCGACUAAAACUAAAUGAGUACGAAUGUAAAGUAAACUUACACCGCUUACAAAAAAGAUAUUCGAGAUGUCAAAAAAAAAAUUGUUCGCAUUUUCUUGUAUGUAAAUAAGGUGGUUGUGGUUGUGGAUAUAAAUUAAAGUUCACCCACUGAGAAAAAGAUAAUAAUAAUCGAUUUAAAGAAAGUGAUAGUGCUGUAAUAAUUCUCCACUGACUUAUUGAAAAUGGAGAAAAUAAUUCAUUUCUAGGUGCUCAACUUCUCGAUGAUUUUUGAAAGGGCUGAGUAGGUGCCCAUAGCUGAACAUACUGCUCCUACUGUGAUAAUUACGAUACAAAGCGCCACCUACAACACACACGAAAAUGGUUGUCAAGAGAGGAUAUGCAUAUUGGCUACUUAUAGACAUUAGAGACUCAAGUGCACAUUUGGUUUUUCGUUUUCCCGGUUAAGAGAUGUAUACCUGAGUAGGGGUUACUUUUGUCCUUAAGAUGCUCAAGAAACAAGCGGGUGGUAGUAUCAACGUCUGUGUCCAGAAGCACAACAUUCAUAUGAAAAUGCAAACUAUAUAUGAGUUUGCUUGCAUAACAAGAAACUUUAUAGGUAACUUACAAUGAGCAUUGUCAAGAAUGAUCCAAUCAAUGACAUGACAAGGCCUGCAAGAAGUGAGUGUCAAUAGCUAUAUGAAAUAUAUAAUUGCAAUGAGAGUAACACCUUUUUAUAUUUUUUUGAGUUUGAUUACCGAAAAAGGGAAUCGCAAGACCAACGAGCAGAGUAGAGAAGGCCAGUGCGCUUCUAAUGGCGAUUGCAUAGAAACGUGACUUGCCAUGGUUUGAUGGUAGUAACUCCUCAAGACUCAUUGCAACCGGAGAUAAUGUCAAAGCAUAUGUGAUUUCUUUAUUAAGGCCACACAAUUUUUCAGUUUCCAAAGAUGAGAAUAUAUGUGAAUAAGGUUGUGGAAAUUACAGAAAUAAGUAAAGAAUUCUGAAAAAAUCAUUAGAAAAGGAUAUUUGGUAAAUGGACUGACUACCUGCAAAAGGGUUUAGAGAAAACGUCAAUGAAAUAUAUAAUGGUAUUUCUGUAAUAUUUCUAUCUAAGUCAUUUGCUCAAAAACAUAUUUCAUGGUAUUGUGUAUGCAAUUAUUUUAAAACCUUUGACAUAUUACAAAAUCAACGAAGUAUUCUAGUGCAUCUUAACGAGAACCAUCCCCAUUUUCUCAUGUAACAACUAAAAGAUGUAUGGAACGAAACUUACUGUGGUCCACAAAGCAAUCUUAGAUGCAACCAAAUCUUGAGGCAAAUUGAGAGUAAACUGUGAUUCUGUUGAUUCUCCGAACAUGCUAUAUCCCAUGACAGCGACACCCGCAUACAUCAAAGUACAAAUUCCAAAACUGCAAAGUAAAAUAAAAACUCUACUUCAGAAAAACAGAAAAUAUAGAGUUCUAAACAUUUGUAAUGUCUUUAUAAGAUUUUACCAUGUUACGAGAACUGCUGGGAAUUGAGAGGGUUUGGCCAUUGAAGUAUAAAUAUUUGGGAAAACACCAUGCCCUGAAUAACAAUAACCAUAAAGUCCUACAGAAACCGGUAAUGUUGCUAGGUUCAGAGGAGUUCCUUUACUGUGAAUUCCAACCUCAUCAAUCAAACCGACCCAGAACAAGCACAAAACCACUAAAACUGAUGCAAUCACCCCUCCAGCUGAAAAAUAAGGAUAUGAUUAGUUAUAACCGAAACUCAGUAAAAUUUUAUACGUUUGACUAAAUUAUAUAACUGAAGUUAGAUUUUGUUUACCAUAUAUAAUGUUAGUUACAAUAAACUAUUUAAUUACAGUUUUUAACCGAAAACCGAGUAAACCAGAAAUUCCAAACCAAAUUAAAUCAAAAUUUAGUUAUAAUUUGGUAUAAAUAUGUUAAAAUGAAACAAUUGAACUGAACCGAACCAGAAAACUGAAUGUUCACUCAUAAAUCACUAAAGAUCUGAAAAAAAAUAAGAUGAGUCCUAGAAAGAUCCAAAGAGCCAUAUUUAGAUGUUUAUACCUGAAAUGUAACUUAAUAUACUGAGAUCUCGAAGCCAAACAGUGGGGAGAACCGCAAUGGUGGUAAGAAGAGCAAAUAGAUGAGGUGCAUCUAAAUGAAACCCUCCAAUACUCAAAGCAGCAUUUGGAAAUAAUGAUGAAAGAUUGUCACUCUCCAGAAUUAUGUAUUCAACACUCAUAGCCUUCACAGAGAGAACAUUGAAACAUAAAGUCUGUAUCUUUAUUAUAACAAAAAGAACAUCUAGCAUUCAAUCCAAUGCAAUUGCACAAUUUUUUUGUCCUAUUUACAAUAGCAUUUCAGUGUAUGUGGUGUUGAUAAUUUUCAACAAUAAUCCCCUAUAUAUUAUUUGAGAAGCAUUGCAACAUUUUUUUGUAGCCACAUGUCAUCACUAGAAUGAUUCUUAGAAUCCUUAGAGAAAUAGGUUGGUCCAUUUAAAUAUAUAAUAAGCUUUUUAUUAAACUACAAUAAAUACAUUAUUAAUGUGAUUCAUUAUUUCCUUAAAUAAGAUUAUGGAAUUGCAUAAUGUGGCUAAAGUAUAUAUGACAAUUAAUAAUUUUGAAUAAUAAAGAUUUGAUAAAAAUAAGUGUGUAUUAUAAUUAUAUUUGUUUUAUUUUAAGCUAUUAAAAUAAAUUAAACAAUCAUAGUGUCCAUAUAAUAAAAAUUAAAAAAAUUAUUUAUAUAUUAUAUUUUGAAUUUUUAAAAACGAGUAUAAAUUACUAAAACUGUUAAAAGUUUAACAUUCAGAUUUUGUGAUCUACGAUUUAUAACUUUUGUUAUGACAUGAUACAAAUAAUUGAAAAAUAAUAUAAGUUGAAAGUCUCAUUUAAGAAGUAUCAAAAAUAAAAGAUAUAUAAAUAUAUGUAUCAUUUUAAAUUAAACUAUAUGCCAUAUAAAAAUACAUAAAUAUCGUAAUUUUGAAAUUUACUUUGGACAUUUUUUUGAUAAAAAUUUUGAAAAAAUAUUGACAACUUAAUUUUUUAAAAUAUUAUAAAUUACUUAAACCAUUAUUCCCACGGUGAAAAUUUUGUUAUCACUAAUUUAGACUUUUUGCUAUAACAAAUACAAAUGAUAAAAAAAAAUGAGCAAAAAGCAUCAUCUAAUAAAUAUUAAUAUUAACAUAUACCACAUAUAUGUUACUAUCAUUUAAAUUUAAUUAUACAUCAUAUCAAAUAGAAAAAUAAUUUUUUUGAUUUAUUAAAUUUAUUUAUAUGUUCGCACCAAUUUAAUUAUAUAAGUAGUAGAUAAUGACUUUUUAAUUAUUCAAUAUAUAUUUAUUAUUUCAUAAUAUGCUAUAAACAUAUAAUAUAUAAAAUAAUUUAUAUAUAUAAUGUUCAUCCCGCGCAAGGCGCGGGUCUUAACCUAGUAUUACUUAUAACCAAAUAAUCCAAUAAUCCAAGUAAAAAACAAGAGAGGGGGAGACACUAUGGACCCUGACUAAAGGUGUUGUACUACUCCACAUGUGGUCCCUUUAAUAAGAAUGUGUGUUUUGUCUUUAUUAAUAAUAAUAUAAAGUAAACUAUUGGAGGAACUGCAAGUUGUACUUACAUAUAGCUCCAGAUAAAGUAUUACCUGCAAUCAAAAAGAGGAUGAUAACUAUAAAAUAUGACAUAAAUGAUAUCUUAUAAACCUCAGAUUUACAGUAAAUAGAUGACUAAUUUCUUACUAAGUGUAUCAUCGAUAAAAUGUUGUACUUACGGAGACAAGGAUGCGGCCGGUGGUACCAAAAGCGGCAUGGCCAAUGUCUGGAUAGGUCUGGAGAUCGGGGUGGCUAUCAAGGCAGUAACGCAAAAGCAAUCCAGUGUAAAAACAAAGAACACCAAAUGCAAAGAGUAUGAGAAGUCCCAACCAUCCUCCUUCCUUCACAGCAUAUGGUGUUGACAAUAUUCCAACCCCACAUAAAACAUUUACUCCUGCACAUGUGUGUGUAUCUAUGUCAUCACUUUUAAGUAAUUUUAAUUAACAAGGAGUAGGACUGGUUCUAAGACUUUGGAGGUUAUAGAUAUUUAAUAAGAACUUUAAUGAUUUCUUUUCUUUUACAAAUUGGGGGCUUAUAUAUAAAUUAGCUCUUAAAAAUUUUGAGAACCAAGACCAAUGUUUCAGUUAGUUGUGCCCGACAGGAAGUGUCACCAUUUACAUUACCAAGUGGUUUGAUGAAACUCACCAUUAAGAACAGCUUGUCCGAAUGAGCUAUCGUUGGAGAUUCCCAUUUCAUGAGACACCCUGGAUGAGGCUUUGGAAGGAAGUAGAGAAUGAGAGCUGCGUUUACGCUUUGCUGCUUCUUCAUCUACUAGGAGAGGUUUUCUAACAGCAGGUAACGAUUCUGGAGUAUGUCUUCUUGUUAAGGACGAGAAAGAGCUUUCAAAUCUUGACAAUGAAGAAUUACCCAAAAAACCAGGACUGGGAGAUGGUAGACUUCCAUAUAGAUCAAUAGAUUGUCUAACAACAUUAUAACAGAGUAACAUGAAAAUGAUUAGGAUCCAAAUCAAAUGUUACAAAUUUGAGAAUCAUGGUUAUAUAAUUUACCUGUAACUCUUUGGCCAUGCCGUUGAGUAUGAGUUAGGUUUAGAAUGAUGUUGGUUGUGAUUGUGAGUAUCAGAAUAAUCAGAGAAAGCUCCAUCAUCUUCUUCUUCGGACAAGUUCUUUCUCUCGUCCUCUCCAUCACUCUCAAGGUAGAGGCUCUGAUCAGAAGAUGAGUGAUUCAUUUUCUCACAACCCUUAUCCGAUAAACACAACUUAGAUUUUAGUGGAAUCUUUAAAUUACAAAAGACAAAAUAUUUGAUUCACAGAAAAAGUAGGAGUCUAGGCGAGUGAAAGGGCAAAACGAAGACCCGGUCGAGGGCAACUAUAUUGGUAAAGAGCCGUUAAAAUGUGAGUCAUUCAUAUAUAGCAAUCAGAUUUAACUAUGGUUAAGUUAAUGUAACUAUAGUUCAUGCAUUAUCCUUUUAUAACUCACUGAAUAUCUUCAAAAUUAGAAUGAUAUUAUAUUUAUUUGGAACUGUAAAUAUAAUAAACCAUAAAAACACUGAACUUUUCAUUUUCUCUAUAUAUAAAUUUCAGAAAUGGUAAGAAAUAAGAAUAUUCCUUCAAAACAAUUUAUUUGUUAUAUAAUAUACCAAAAUAUCCUAUAUAAAUAAUUUUGGUUUCUAAAUACAUAUAAAACUAUAAUUAUCUGAAAAUUAUUUUCUUAUAAUGAUAUUUUUACUUCUAACUAUUGGUUUUGCACAGAUAAAUGAUCAAAUUAUUAUAUUUAGAUUAGUGAUUAUUUGUACUUUAUUAAUGUAAAAUUUAUCAAUAAUUGUAUUAUUUUUUCUUGCAAAUGUCACACACACACACAUAUAUAUAUAUAUAACCUACAAUAAUCAUCUUGAUUGUUUUGAAGGUAUAUGCGUUUGUGUUUUAUGCAAUUAUAAUUGGGUAUAUAUAUCUUUAUGUUUUAGUCUCAUAUAAUUAGGUUUAAAGAUACAAAUCAUCUAUACUAUUAUUUGCAAAGUAAUUUUUUGUAACAAAGCUAUCACGUUAAAAGUUAGAACGGCUAAAGUCUAUGUUACCUUUAAUGAAUUAUUAUAUAAUUAAAAAUGAAUUUAUAUUAAUAAUAUCAUUUUAAAAAGAUAACCUUAUAUAUAACUUUAUAUAUUAUGUUGUUAUCUUAAUGAAUAUAUAUAUAUAUAUAUAUAUAGUUAAAAAGAAUUUUAUAUGAAUAAUAUCAUAUUUUUAAAAAUAAGAUAAUCAUAUAUAUUGUGUUGUUAUCUUGAAAUAAUAUUUGUCUAUCAUAAAAUUUUCAAAUUAAGUUAUACAAAAAUUUAUAAUUUAUAGUCAAAUAUUAAUCAAGUAAUUACAUUUACGUAAAGAUAUUUUCUAAAAUAUUUUAAUAUUUGAGUGUUUUUAAUGAAAAACUUUAUCAUAUAUGAAGAAUCUGAUGUAUAAUUUAAUUUUUUUGAGACAUAAAUAAUAAAUUAUCAUGCUGAUUUGAUUUAAUAAAUAUUUGUAAGAAGAUUAUACCUGCAUAUGCAGAUAAAACAUCUAGUUCAAUAUGAUUUUGUAUUUCCUCAUUUUUUUCUAUUUCUUUUUGCAAAAUAAAUGAACCACUAAAUACCUAAUAACACUAAAAAGGAACUAUGAGAAAACCGUAUUGGCAAGGGUAGAACCACGUCCACAUGGUGUGCAUGUGGAUCUGUUUAACGAUAUUUUGAAGUUUUCUUAACGUUUUAGAACGGCAAUGAUUCAACCGUAUCUGGAAGUCACAACUCAAGAACUUGUACAUAUUUGUUAUCAAACUUAAAAAUGAACAUGCCCACAUUUAAUCUCUUUUUAUUCGCCGCUUCCAGCUAUAUAAAUAUGUUUGUUUUCACAUGUUCAUUACAUGUUAUAGUACUUAUUUUCAAUUAUUUUCCAAGUAGAUUCAGCACGUUCUUAGUUGUUUGGGAUUAUUAGUUUCACACUAUUGCAUUAUGAAUCUAUUGACGAUCUAUGAUGGUUCAUGUUUAUCUGUGCGAUAGAUGAUAAGAAGCUUGACACAUGCAAACAUGAACACCCAUCACUAAUUCUUUUAUUAUUAUAAAGUUUUAUAUUAAUAUUGUUGUGUCCGAUUAUAUGUCAGUAAAACUUAGAACUAUAAAUAACAUACGACGUUAGUCUCGCCGAAAUUUGUUCAAAAAUCUAUUACAUUUCAAGCUCAUCAGUUAAAGGACCUGGCUAGUUAACACCAAAUUAUCCUCACAUUAAUAGAAUAAUCUGUUAAUAGUCCAUAAAAUCGUCUCUUGUUAGGAACAAACAACUCUCUUCUAUACGAAAACUACCAUAUUAACACCUAAUUUAUCUUGAUCACUAACGUCAUUUCCUUCAAAAGUACUUUAAUUCUCAAGUCAGAAAUAAAUAUGAAAUAUACAAAAGUCAGGAAGGAUACUCGGCCAGAAUAUAUACCUAAGGGAAGAGUUUGUGGUUGUUUCUGUUAUAUUUGGAGGUUAAGAUAUCAAGCUAGCUUAUUUUUGCCUUGGAAGUAUGUUUUUCUUAGGACUGCUACUACUUUUGUAAGCUCCUUUCUUCAUUUAUAAUGAUAUUACAUUCUUAGCAAAAAAAAAGAUAACAAGCUAGCUUGAAUUAAUAUUCUGGGAGUAGGAAAGUUGCUUUAUUGAAAGGUUGCAUCAAAUUGACUGAAGUUGUCGGACUAGACAAAAUAAUGAUAAACUAUAUACAUGAAUGUCUAAGGUGAAAAUCUCAUCUAUAACUUUAUUAGUAAUUAAUUAACAUCUAAUCACUCUUUGAGAACCAUGUUCUUAUAAGACUAUCAACGAUGUUUUGGUUUAUUCAACACCCUACUUUUCUCUUUCUAACACUCUACAUCAUCUUCUUUCUCUUCCACAUAUUAUUCAACACUCAUUUCAUUUUUAUACUCUACAAUAGUUUUGUUUAAUAAAAUUCAACACCCUACUUUAUUAUUUUUAAUUCACACAUAUCAAUUAUAAUUUAGUAGCUACAUCAGCUAUUCAAGUUUGGUCAUUAUCAUCGACUCCAACAAGCCCUGAUAUAUUUCCGGUAUCGAGUGUCUACACAAAUAUAGAUUAUCUGUUUUGGAGGAAGAAUAGCAUCAUCGAGCCAGAACGAGACAGGGAUCUUUAUCCCUGGAUAUUAUGGUAUAUUUGGAAGGCUAGAAAUGACAAACUCUUCAGAGGAAUAGCUAGAGAUCCAUUGGAGCUAGUUCGACAUGCAGAGAGUGAAUGCCAAGCCUGGUUUGACGCUAACGAAGCGGUACAACCAGUGUUACAACCAGUGGUUCAAGAUAAUAUCCCUGAGAUAGCCCAAAUCAUACGUUUGGGUAAUAUUUGCUUGUUAGAUGGAUCUUGGACAUCUUCUGCUCACUUUAGUGGAUGCGGCUGGGUAUGGAUGGACAGUGACGGGAAUAUUCAACUUAUGGGAACAAAGAAUUUCACUCGACGUGAAUCAGCUUUGCAUUCGGAAGUAGAAGCACUGCGGUGGGUGAUGGAAAAUAUGCUUCAACACUCAACAUGCCAGAGCUUUGGGACAGACUGCAAGGAGCUGAUUGCAAUGAUGAAGGACCCUCAAGAUUGGCCAAGCUUUGCGACAGAAUUGGAGAGGAUAGAGACAUUACAAAUAUGCUUUCCGAACUUCAGCAUCAUUCAUGUUCCAUGGGCGCGCAAUCAGAUUUCAGAUUUUUUUAGCUAAGACUGCAAGAUCCUUCCGUAGGGAGUUACUUUUUAUUGGUUGUUCUAUUCCGGUUUGGUUACCCAGACCACCUCAAGUUUGAGUAAUAGAAUGGUCUUUUGACGUAAAAAAAAAAAAAAUUUAGUAGCUACAUAUUAAUAAUUAUUUAAGAUAUUAACAGAUUAUAAUGAAUAUCUAUUUAGCAAAAAAAAAAGUUUAAGAAUACCAAAACACUUGGUUAAAAAUAAAAAAAAAUUAUAAAGAAAAAGUGACGUUUUUAAUAUAUAUCCAAAUUAAAUGAAAGUAAUCUCUAUUUACAGACUAUAAGAAAUGAGGAAUUUUGCUAUAAUUUUUAGUUUUUUAAAAAGUUAUGUUUUUAUAAAAUAAUUGAAUUCUAAGAAUAUGGUAAAAAUAGAAAAACACUAAAAUGUAGACAACCAAUGAGAAUAUAAUAUAUAGCAGUGUGGGUCCUAUCUUUUUUUUUUUCAACAUGUUGAAGUUGUUCAAUGGGUGUUUACUUCACCUGUAUUUUUUUCUUAAUUCAACACCCCACUACAUUGGUUUAAGCUGUUGAAAUAUUUAUUCAAGAGGUCCAUUGUAAAUGGUCUAACAUGGAUAAAUAUGUUUUUAGCAAUUUAAUUUCAAACAUGAAUCGAAUUUAAAAUCGACAAGUUUACGCUUAACUUUCUUCGUUUCACAUGGCUCUUGGUUCAAAUAAUUUGAAUCUUACAAGCAGUUUGUCUGUUGGUCGAGCGAUUAAACGUGGUGUGAGAUUAAGAAUAUGAGGUGUUAUGUUCGAUAUUUCUAUCAUAAUAUAAUCCAAUACGUAAAAAAUUCUCAAGACUGUAGAAAAACUUUGGAAUACUUCUUUCUGUUUGAUAACCCCAUCACAAAAACACAAGGCCAAAAGUCUUAGAAUGAAGUAUGUAUAACUUAAUCUGUAAGGGCUUUUGAGUGUUAGAAAAUUAAGCAAUCGUUACAUAAUGUUUGGCAUUAAGCUCUUUGCUGAUACUAACAUUCCCUCUAGGAAAAUUGGGUUCAGAAACAUUUCCUACACCACAUAACAUUAUAGCAUGUCAGGAUUCACGAAUACAUUAAUUCAGCCUAUGAAAACACUUGUGUUCUCAAGUCUUUAUAGACUAUAGAUUUAGUUACAUUACUCCGUUUUUUACAUGACUUUUUUUACUAGUAAAACACAACCAAUGAAAUUUGAUGUACGGUUGAGACGUUGCAAGAAUCUGGAUGCAAAUUUGGAAUAGAUCUUUUAGGGUUUUUCUCGAGCAAAAAAUCUCAAAAGCUCUUCCAAAAACAAAAUCUCAAAAGCAUACAAUCCAAAGCUUGUAACUGAGGCAAUUGGGACAAGUGGCAAUAUGGGACAAGCCACUCAUCUAACCGGUAAACGGACCGACAUUAGACAUUAGACAUCAGCAUGUGUCGUCAAGCAUCCACAUGGUGCUCUCUGGUUGGUUAGAUCUCAGAUUACGUAGUUGUAAUACCAGUAGAAGAUCUAAUAGCAUGAUCUAACACGUGUCGACUUUUCUUUCGUGUUCAGACUUCAGAUUGGCCUUUAGGAUCGGAUUAGGUGUACAAUUAGAUUCUCCCACUCUUCCCACUAUUUUCCUAAUCCGUUGUUUCAUCAUAUAUGUCGGAACGUAAGAUAUUUUCUCAGUUAUCUAAUAGUAUUAGAUAUUACUAUUACCUUUUUGCCCCAAAAGAUCUUUUAAUAUUGCAAUAAUUUAAUAAAAUAUGAAAUUAUAUGAUUUGAUAACCAUUGAAUAAUCCGAAAUAUUUAGAGCACCAUAAUCUAUAUUUUAGAGAGUUUCUUACAUACAAUAUAAUAAAAUAGAAAAUAUGAAUAAAAAGAGAGAAUCAUUUUCGGAGAAAACUAUAGAACAAAGUUCAUAAAAAAAUGUGUAUGUGUCACAAACAUCUUUACAAAGCACACUAGCUUAAUCUAAGGGAAAAAACGUUUUAUUUUUUUUUCUUUAACUAACAAAUGUUUUAGUUAUGUACUAUGUAUUAUUUGCACACAAAGCAUAAUUAACUAUUUUUAUUUUUGUAUGUAGUAAUAUUUCUGCCAACUUUUAAUGGAGUAGUUUACGUUAAAAUCCAAUAGGUUGAUAAAAUGUUAAAUAAUGACGUGGAACUUUGACUUGGAAAAUCAAAGUUGGGAGAAGGUUUGGAGUUAUAAGAAGCACGAGCAUUAUCAAAAAGUGUUAUAUGUGAGUUGUUCUUUCCCAACGCUGACCACGCAAGGAUAGACAUACGUAUCUUGGUCCAUACAAACACCUCAGCAAACACACACACACACACAUAUAGACCUAUAUAUAUCUUCCCCUUCAUGUCCUAUGAACACAAACAUUUCAGAGCAACGGUUGAUAGGUUAACACACAAACAUACAUAAAUGCCGAGUUACAUUUCCUUCAUCGUGUUGCUCUACAUAUUUCUUUUAUCUUUUUCUCCCCAAACGACCUUUGUCAAUGCAUCUAGACCAUUAUGGGUAUCCAAUAAGUCAGGCCACACGAGCUUGAAUACAUUUUACACAAGCGGUAGUGAGCAAGGCAAACUUCACGAUGGAGCGAUGAAUGAUUGUCUGCCAAAGGGAUUUCGCUUCAACUCUGCUCCUAGCCGCUACAUAAACAGCCAUGCUUUAGGUUCAACACUAUGUUCUACAACAACUAAAGCCAUUCAUAAGCCAUAAAAUAAUUAAUAAAGGCUCUAGGCAUCUCAUGAAUUUAUAUAUUUCACCUUUGCUUGGGUUUAGUUCUUGAAUAACCCAUGUAUGUAUUCCUUAAUUUGUUGUUGUGCUUGUAUUAUUGUAUAUAUAAUAUUAUCAAGCAGUACUGUCACAUAGAACAUAUAUGAAAAAAAAUUAUACUGUUGUUUCUUUUAAGCGUUUUCUUGCGAAUAUGUAUAUGGUUUUAUGGUGAUUUUGUAAGAGACCCAACACACCAUUGUUUUUUUUGUUUCACAAUCACUGUGUAAAGCGUAUGAACCCCAUGCACAACCAUGGUUACACAGAUCAGUCACUACCAGUACCACACAAACUUAUCUAAGCACAAUUUCAAUCUAGAUCAACAUUAUCAAUCAUUUAGUAUUCUUCUUAGUUCUUAUUGCUUUACAAACUUUGCCAUUAUUUUCUCUUUUUUUUUUUGAUCAACCCAUUACUUUCUCUAUAUAACUCAAUAGAUGGACAAAAGAAAAAUAAAACACCACUCUCUUUUUUUUUUUUUUUUUGGUCAAAAAAACACCACUCACUCUCUGUGAACGCUAAUAACAAGUAAAUCUUUUUUUAAUCAGAUUAUGCAGUCCAGACCAAAGUAAUAUCUUGUUCUUAAUCUGCAACUAUUUUGUUACUAGUAUUUAAGUUGUAAGAAGAUUUGAUGAAAUGGUACCCAAAAUGAGAAAAUCCCAAGAAACAUGCAAACAUAUGUUCCCUUUUUUUUUCUUAUUGAACACCAUAUGGUCCCUUUGUUAUGUAUCAGUAUUACUAAUUAAUAAAGAAAUUUAGUCCCACACCCAAAAUAAAUCUUGUAAUGUUUUUCCUUUUUUAAACACAUAAUCUUGUGAUGUUAUUACUUGCAAAUUGUACAAUACAUCAAGAAACUUUGCAAUUAUUUUUCAUCUAAAAAAAACUUUGCAAUUAUUUUUUUUAACUUGUAAAAUACUUUAAUACAUAUGAUUUUAUAUAUUAAAAUUUUGCAAAUUAGUUACGGCUUGAUAGUUGACAAAAAAAAAAGUUACGGCUUGAUAAAUAAAAAUAAAUAAAAGUAAGAGCCUUUAAAAUAAAACUCGAGAAUAGUUGGCAAAGUCAAGGACGAUCCUUCUUCUUCUUCUUCCUCGACUCGCUGCCAUCAAACCCCCAAAACUUGGAUUCGAUCUCUCAGCUCUAUAAUCUCAUCAAUUCUCUAUAUAGGGAUAAGCUAUGGGAUGUGCUGCUUCUCUUCCAGGCAAGUUUUCUCCUUUUCGUUUUCCUUUUCUUUCUCCGUUUUGUUGAAUUUAUCAUCCUCGGUGCUCGAUUACAAGUGAGAAGAACCUAUUCGCAAGACCCUCGAGUCCAAUUUCGGGAAAGGCGAAUCCUUUGGGGUUGAAUUAGAAGCUUUCGCGAAAUUAGGGAUUGCGAAUUAUCAUUUGCGUCUUUUUUUUAGGGUUUCCGUGUGAAGAAUCUGAGAAACCAAAUCGGUUGAUGUGUGUUUGUGUUUGUGUUUCAGAUAGGAACUCUGGAGCUUUAAACGGUCUUACUAGUUCAGAGAAUGCAGCUCCAGCAGAUGCUAAGAAUCUACGCGUAAAGGUGCCAUCUUUGUGCUCUCCUUGGUAUCACCUUUGUUGCUAGACUGAUUCCUUAGAGACUUAGUAAAGAUACCUAAGUGGAGUUCUACAGCUCAGAAAGUUCAUGCUUUUUUGUGAUCUUGGUCUUUUAUACUUUGAUUUGUUAGUGAUGGAGUGAGUAUUCUUUAUAGAAUGGUGGAAUGUUAGCAAUAAACCCUCAACUUUCUUCUCUCUAUAGCUAAGUAUAAGCGAGUGACUGUAUUGCAUUAUCUUCUUGGAGCUGUGUUUGAGACUCUUAUGCUACUGAAAGAAAAUGGCUUCUCAUUAGCCUGUGUAGUGUAGUUUGUCUCUCGUGUUUCCGCAAGGCAGACUUGCUAACUUUUGGAUUCACUUGAAUGCAGUUAGUUCUUUUAGGAGAUUCUGGUGUGGGUAAAAGCUGCAUUGUCCUUCAAUUUGUCCGUGGUCAAUUUGACGCAACAUCUAAGGUAAAUAAAACCUUUUUAUCUAAUCGUCACCUGAAACUUCCUUUAUGGUAUCAAAUUGUUCUUAACUGCCAUUGAAUCUCAAAAACAAUUAUUAUGUCUCAGGUAACUGUUGGAGCUUCAUUCUUGUCCCAAACAAUAACCUUGCAAGACUCUACCACAGUGAAGUUUGAAAUCUGGGAUACAGCAGGGCAAGAGAGGUGUUAAGUCCUCCAUGUAGAUUGGUGUUUCUUAGUUAAUUGCCUUGCAUGCUCGUUAAAGCUCAAUAUGUGUUCACUUGAUUAUUUUUUUGAAAGGUAUUCUGCUCUUGCUCCACUAUACUACCGUGGAGCUGGAGUUGCUGUUAUUGUGUAUGAUAUAACAAGCCCUGAAUCGUUCAAGAAAGCUCAGUAUUGGGUUAAGGUAUGUUUUCAUGUAACCCAAAGGGUUCCAUUUCUUAUAUGUUUUUGGGAUUGAUGCUUAUAGCUUGUGAACCAAAUGACUGGAGAACUGACUUGCAGAAAGUCAUAUAUGACCAUAGAAGAGUAGAACAAUUGCAAUACAAGUGUUAUAUCAUAUAUUUCCUUUGUUUUUAACCAUGCCAUUUAAAUCUAACAGGAACUGCAGAAGCAUGGAAGCCCAGACAUUGUUAUGGCUUUGGUUGGUAACAAAGCUGAUCUACAUGAAAAAAGAGAAGUACCAUCCGAGGUGAGUUUUUGCAUAAACUUCUUUAAGUAGAUAUACAUUUUGUUGUCACUUGCACGGUUCUUGCUUCUUCAGCGUAGGGGUGUCACAUUCUCAAUUUUGUAACAGGAUGGUAUGGAGCUUGCAGAGAAGAACGGCAUGUUCUUCAUUGAAACGUCAGCUAAGACGGCCGAUAACAUAAAUGAACUGUUUCAGGUGUGCAUUUCUUUAUCCCCUCAGGAUUUAUGACCAGCUGUUUUGUCAUCUGCAUUGAUUGAGCUCUUGUGAUUUGUUUUAUUUUCAUUGCUUUGGACUUUGGAGAAUGAGUAUAAGUUGAUAGGGAGUGAGAUCUUUGUUCUUUUUAUUUGUCUAAGCUACUUCUAAAAAUUCAGAGAAAACUGAGUAGGAGAAGAAUAAUAGUUUCAGGUGUAGAAAGAAUGAUUGAUUGUGAAUCAGGUUUUGAUGUUUUGUACAUGUUUGUGUGAAUAGGAAAUUGGAAAGAGGCUACCUCGUCCUUCUCAACCAUCAUCAUGAUUGGAGUGUUUGGAUCAUCCCAUCUUCAGUGAAAAGCUUAAACCUUUCUCCUGGUUACUAAUCUUUUACUUACUUUCAUGUAAUGUUAUUAAACGGUAUUUUAUUAUAUAUGUUUUAAGUGUGUUGUGUAAUACGAAGAUUCGAGGUUGAGAAGCCUUAAUUAAAUUAAGCAAUGAUGGGGGAUUAUCACAUGUACAUUUAUAUCUACUAUAAGAAAGAGAACGUAGCAGCUACUCUACAGAAACGAAUCUAUUGAAAAGGAAAAUUUGACCAUUUCAAACAAGACUAGCAUAUUAAAUCCUCUACUCAGACACGCCUCACAUGACCUGAUUCUACAUACUCGGAGUUUGUCAUGUCAUGUGUAUUCAUUUAUAACUAUGUUAGCUAGUGACAACUAGUUUUGACUUCUGAUUGUUUGUGCAUCCACAACUCACACACGUAUAUUUCGAAAUCCAAAAUUGAAUCUUGAAUCUGACGUGACACUAGUAUUUUAAAAAUUGGUUUAGUCAUCGGAACAAAACAAUUUUUUUUCAAACUGAUGUUUUAAAAACCGGUCUAGACGUAAAAAAAAAUUCAAUCUAAAACCCCCACUAAAUACUCACCUAAAUAUUAAUCUUUUAUAAAAACCGAAUUUUAGAAGACAGACAAACAAGUUAGAUGAUGCUUAAAUAAAUAGAAGAUAGUAACUAAAAAGAAAAAAAUCUGAUUGGUUCAAAAAGGGACAACUUGUGGCUUUUUUCAGACAGAGAAGACUUUAGGUGUUUGUUUAUUUUAUUGUCACGUUGGUAAGGAAGGAUUAAGCGAUAACUGUUGUUUUUUAUUAAGGGGUCUUAAUGGCUCCAUCGCAUUCUUCCUCCCUUUAACCAUCUUCUUCUUCUUCCUCCUUUGGAGCUAUCUCCAGGAUGGGAUCAACGAAUGGUUCCGAUGAGGAGCUCAUGAGUCGUCUCGUUGACUCCGUCAAGCAAAUUUCAAAGUUCUCCAAUUCCAAAGGCUUCUUCGGGAGGAUCCAAGGCGAUCUCGUCCGUAGGAUCACCCUUCUCAGCCCUUUCUUCGAGGAAUUAAUCGACAUCAACGCUGAGUUGAACGAAGAACAACAACUCACAGGUUUUGAGGUUAUGAGGAUCGCUCUCGAUUCAAGCUUAGAGCUUUUUCGAUCUGUCAAUGGAGGCAGCAAACUUCUUCAGGUUUUUUUCUUUUACUAUUUCUUCCUUAAAGAUUCUCUCGUUGGUCGCUUGCAAAGUUAGCAGCUUUCCUCUGUUUUCUUAGGGUUUAAGAUACUUAACCAAUAUCAAGAACAAGAAAAGGUUGACUCUUUUCAUGUUUUGUUUGUCCUCUCUGUGCUGGCAGAUCGUCCAUAGGGGUUCUAUUAUGCAGAAGUUCCACGACGUGACAGUGGAGAUAGAAGCAGCCUUAACUCAGAUCCCUUAUGAUCACUUCGAAGUCUCCGAGGAGGUCAUAGAACAGGUUCUUCUCAGCGCAUUUGUUUUUUUUUUUCUCUCGUUUGGCUUUGGCCACAAUGGUUUGCAAAUUCUAAUGAUAUUAUCUCUUUUGAAUUUGUAGGUCAAGCUUCUGCAUUCUCAAUUCAAGAGAGCAACAGAAAGACAAGAGGACUAUGAUCUGCAGCUAAGCCAUGAUCUAGCCGUGGCAGAGAGCGUGGUAGAUCCUGACCCUGAAACCCUCAAAAGACUGUCGCAAGAGCUCCAACUCAGCACUAUUGAUGAGCUCAAGAAAGAAUCUCACGCCAUUCACGAGUACUUUCUUUCGUAUGAAGGGGAUCCAGAUGACUGCUUUCAGAGGAUGUCCUCUCUUCUUAAAAAGCUGGUAGACUGUGCAUCAACUGAAAGUUCGGAACCGGAUGCAUCUACUGGCAGCAAAGUCAUUUCGAGACAUCGGUCUCCUGUUAUACCAGAGUACUUUCGGUGUCCGAUAUCACUUGAACUGAUGAAAGAUCCUGUCAUCGUCUCCACUGGACAGGUCUGCUUUUGCAUUGUAGUGAGUUUGGUUCAUUACAUUUGUGUAGUGCUGGGCAUUUUGGGUUAUUCGGGCAGGGGACAGGGGUGUUUAGGACCUGUUUAGGAACCGGACAAUUUUUAGAUCGGUUUGGGUUGGGUUUCUAUUUUUAUAAAACCCAAAGUGGAACCGAAAUAAUUUGUGUUUGGUUUGGGUUUAAAGUCCGAAAAUCAAAAAAACUUCAAAAACCCUGAAAAAUAUUCAAAUAAUUCGGGUUUUGGAUAUUUUUAUUUCUAAAUUGUAUUAUAUAUAUAUUAAAAAUAAUUAAUAUUUUAUUAUAUUUUGAAUAUUCGAGUACCUCUUUGGUUUUCUGUUCCAGUCGGUUUCGGUAUUUCGGGUUUAGAAAAAAUAGGAAUCCUUUGGGUUUCGGUUUUAGUUUUCUCGGUUCAGUUGGUUUUUGGGUUACUGUAAUUUGCCCAGGACUACAUUUUUGUAUGCAUUUGUUGUUUUAGCUGGUUUUUUCUCGACCUUGCAGACAUAUGAGAGAUCAUCCAUACAGAAGUGGCUAGAUGCUGGUCAUAAAACCUGUCCGAAAUCUCAGGAGACACUCUUGCAUUCCGGAUUAACACCUAACUACGUGCUAAAAAGUCUCAUUGCUCUGUGGUGUGAGAGCAACGGUAUCGAGCUUCCGCAAAACCAAGGGAGCAGCUACAGAACCACAAGACCAGGAGGAGGUAGCAGCUCUUCGGAUUGUGACCGAGCAUUUGUCCUCGCCUUGUUAGAGAAGCUGGCCAACGGAUCUACAGAACAGCAAAGAGCUGCAGCUGGAGAGCUUCGGUUACUAGCCAAGAGGAACGCGGACAACAGAGUCUGCAUCGCUGAGGCUGGAGCCAUACCGCUCCUCGUUGAGCUUCUAUCCUCACCGGAUCCUCGGACUCAAGAACACUCCGUGACGGCUCUUCUGAAUCUUUCUAUAAACGAAGGCAACAAAGGAGCCAUUGUUGACGCAGGAGCUAUCACAGAUAUAGUGGAAGUGCUUAAAAACGGAAGCAUGGAGGCUAGAGAGAACGCAGCCGCGACGCUUUUCAGUUUAUCUGUUGUAGAUGAGAACAAAGUGGCGAUAGGUGCUGCUGGAGCUAUCCAAGCUCUUAUAAGCUUGCUUGAGGAAGGAACAAGAAGAGGGAAAAAAGACGCGGCAACUGCUAUAUUCAAUCUGUGCAUAUACCAAGGGAAUAAAUCAAGAGCCAUUAAGGGAGGUAUCGUUGAUCCUCUGACAAGGUUACUGAAAGAUGCAGGUGGAGGAAUGGUGGAUGAAGCUUUGGCUAUCUUGGCGAUACUUUCAACGAACCAAGAAGGGAAAGCAGCUAUAGGUGAAGCAGAUACUAUUCCUGUUUUGGUUGAGAUUAUAAGGACAGGGUCACCGAGGAACAGGGAGAACGCUGCAGCUAUACUUUGGUAUCUAUGUAUUGGGAAUAUGGAGAGGUUGAAUGUAGCGAGAGAGGUUGGUGCAGAUGUUGCGUUGAAGGAGCUUACUGAGAAUGGGACUGAUAGAGCUAAGAGGAAAGCUGCGAGCUUGUUGGAGAUCAUUCAGCAACUCGAAGGUGUUGUGAUAUCUACUGUUCCAUGAAAGGCUUGCUCUUUGUGGAAAUCUUAUUUGUUUCAGUAUAGAUUAUAUAUGUAUAGGAAGCUUUUGGAUUGACUCUGACUAAAGAAGCUUAUGUAAUGUCUACUCAGUUUUGUGUAUACAAUAAAACCUCUUUAAUUAGUAUUUGUUAGUAGUGUAAGAUAAUAUUCUCUCUGCUCGUUAUUGCAUUCUGGUCAUCUGUUGUUAAGUUGAAAUGAAAAUAUGCAUCAACAAAUAUAUUACUGAUUUGUAUAUAAAAGAUCAUACUGUCUCUCACCACAAAAGAAAAACAUAUACGAGAACAUUUGAAUACCAUUCACUCUGCAACCAAAACGAUCCAGAAGAAGAGUCACAAAGACAUAAAAAGACAAUAAAUAAACACACAAUAGCACUCGAGAGAAAAGAUAACGCUCUCUUACGGAUCAGCCUUGUUUAUCCAUGAAUGUUUCUAUUAGUGUUGCGCCAUUGAUGAUCUUUGUUGUAGCAAUAAUCAAAUCAUAAGCCAUUCCUUCCUGAAAAAGAAGCAAUUGAAGAAGGAAGGCUUCAGCAAAAGAGUGUCUUUUAAUCAUAAACUCUUGGAAGUUUGCAUAUUACCUUGGAGGCGAGAAACCGUAGGGCAGAGAUUUCAGCAAAUGUUACACCUCCAAUGAAGACAACAAGAACAACUGAGCGUCUUCCAUCAGCAACCCUGUAAUGAUGUUGUAACAUAAAUGUUUUAUCCUUCUGUAGAAACUACUUUUGUGGUAUCGAACUAAUUGAUAAUGAUAAUAAACUUUACCCAUUUGAAGCUCCAUGCAAUGAAUCAACUGAUGGACUACUUGGGAAUCCACUCUGCAUAGAGAUGGUACAUAAUGUGAUCACAAAAUAGUCGAAAACAGAAAAUACAAUAGCAUAACAAAACAAUUCUUUUUUUUUUCUCCAGUUGGGUAAACGUGUACUGACUCUUUUAGUUUCCAGAUGUGGUCCUGGCAACAGCUUCAAAAUGUCUUCUAUUGGACGCCUGUAAGGUAGAUUGAGGACUCAUUAAUAUUAAACACAUCACUCUGUCAACAUUCAUAUAUGAAUUAAUAAAUGUUCUUUCAAGUUCUGAUAUUUGCUGAGUUCUUCUGUGCAUGUCACUUAAUGCUUCUCAACUCGAAACUGAACAGAAUUCUAGACUUUUUCUCUUCAUGGUUAUAUUAAUAUAUAGAAAAGCCCAAGUGUUAUUUUAUACACAGGCUAGCUAGUCAACAUUUUGGUCUAGAAGAGUGCAAGAACAUACUAACCAUCCGGAAUGUAUAGCUUGUUGGACAAGACGAAUGCUAAGAGGAGCAUAUCCAGAAUAGACAUAAGCGAUAUCAACCGGCCUGCAACAAGAACAGUGUUUCAAACAACUCAAAUAAGCACUAAUUUUAUUUCUUACGAUUAGAAAAAGUUUGGUACAAGGCCUAGCAUAUCAGGUGAAUGAAGGUAACAUAUGACAUGAUAUCACAAAUGCAACAUAUGGAAAGUGAUGACGUAAAACCAUAAAUGCACAGAAUACAACACAAUAGACAAACAAGGAGGAAACAGAUUGCAAGUCAAGAAAAAGGGAGAGUCCUCAUAGAUAAACAAAAUUUGCAAGUCAAGAGCGAGCUUUCGAGCCGGGCUUUAGAAGAUACCAGAGAUAUCUUCGAAAACAAAAAUAUUCAGCCAGAGCUGUAACUAAAUCAUGCAUUAGCGAUAAUGAAGGUAUUGUCAAAUAUUGUAGUUGGAAAAUCAGCUUUCAGGUUUUAUACGUUCAUUCAAGAUUACGUUUGCAUAUUUUCUGAACUAGACAUCUGGACCCGCUUCAUAAGCGUAACCCCAUAAACAAAAAUCAUGCCAUCAUGUAUUCAGUUGGUGACAACAUGACUAAAAAGAAUAUUUACCUUGACGUAUCUGUGUCUUCAACUAUAAGUUUCAUUGUACGUUUCACUGUCUGCCAGUUGCUUUUAAACUCCUGUAGAAACCAAACGAAUGUACAACAACCCCUUAGAAUAUCAGACACACUUAACCCCAAUAAACAAGAAGAUUGUUCAUCCCACAAAGUAGCCAAGAAUAACCAAACCUGUUUCUUCAACAAUCCUGCUUUUUCCAAGUUGUUCAAUACGUUCACAUGCUCAAACCCAUAACUGUGGAGUAGUUCCGUUCUGGAAGUUGAGACACGAAGACAAGAUAUCAUUCAAAAAGCAGAAAAAUUAAAUAUAAAAUACCGAUGAUUGCUGGAAGCUAGCUUGCCUUAUAUAAUCAAAUUGCUUUUUCGGUAACCCUGAGUUUGUAAUAGAAAAUAGGACCAAUAGUCGCAGGACUUUAGUGAGAGGCUCCUGUUUAUGGAUCAAUUCUUCUAUGUACUCAAAGCAUCUGUAUUAACAAACUAGAGUUAGUAAUAAUAAAUCAUAUAACAGACUUUUCCAUUAUGCCAUCAACGUAAGAUGUUUUCCACAUCACUUGUAAUAGAAAGAAUCAUCAAGAUACUUUUGAAUGGAAGUAUUAAAUUCAAUUUCCUUAAGAAGAAACUUACAUGUCAUAACUUUCUGCCUCAACUAGUGUUUGUUCCAUGUCAAGCUGCGAAAGAAAUGACUGCUUGGACGUGAAUGUUGUCAGGUGCUGAGCAAGAUGUAUGUGCCUCUGGGAAAGAAAAAAAUCAUACAAAAUCAAGUUAGGAUGAAACUUAUCGUUUUCUGAACCAUCUGCGAGAUAAAACAAAAGGAACUUUAAGAAAACAAGGCAAUACUUACUGUCAUCUCUGGUAAUGAGUUAAGCUUCUUGACAAAGUCCUUUAGCUCAGAAACUGUCUGGGUCUGUGUAUUAUAUUAUCAUACACCAUUAAAAUCUCGGUCCAACUAAUAAUCUAAGUUUAAAAUGUAUGGAUAGGCUGAUAGUUCCUAAGGAAUACAUGGUCUAUAUUAAUUUGGUAACUAUUUAUGUGCCAAAGAAUACUCCUGAAUCCUGAUCGAGUCUAAGAGAUCUGACCACAAAUAUGUAUGUACCAUAACCUCUACCGCGAAAACAAGACUACCUAAAGGGAGAGAGCGACAAAACAAACGUACAGAAUUAAUUUCAGUAUAGUCCUCCUUCAUGGUUGUUGCCUUCUGCCGUAGAACCUGCAAUCAUACCGCGUCUGUAGUUGAGUAAAAAGAAUCCCAUUUAACGCAAAAAAUGAAAGCUAAAAGGACAAACGUCAACCUGCACAACGACUUCAAAGUUGAGAUCCCUCGUCUCCUUGAACAAUUUAUCACUGUAAAUUUAAACAUUCAAGCAAUAAAUUUAUGAAAGACAUAGAUAGGCACAGUAGCUUGGAAAGUCCAAUCUAGCUACCAGUUUAGGGAGCGAUUUUGUGUGCAUAAUCAAUUAAUACACAUUAAUAUCAACACAACAGUGUGCUUAUCCAAUCCAAGAAAAUCACAAUUUCUAUUCCAUGCAUCAAAAAUACUCACAAAAAUCAUAUAGCAAUGCAGUAGAAAUGGUCUCCUACGGUUGAAGAAAUUUGUAUAUACGAUGCAAGAAACUAACCUUGAAUUAAGGGGAACCUUCAUCUUUUUCCCCUCCUGCUGAGAACCCAUCACAGACGAGUCGACCUCGACAGCUCCAUUACUGAUAUGCAAAAACUUUAAAUAGGGGUUGGAGUCAGCUCACAGAAAACCCAAUCGACCAGCUUGAUUAAAAUCCAAAUUGUAUGGUUGUUUGUUAUCAACCAAUGAAAUUAAGUAGGAUAAUGACAAUCGUUUGUGGCAUUACCUCGUUUAACAAUCCUUCAUAAGUUAACUGGGUACACAUUGGUGUAACCAUAUCAACCUGAAACAGAAAGUAUUAAAGUCAAUCAGAAUGUACUUUUGAAAGAUAUCUUUGUGUUGAAGGAUGUCAUAUAAUUGGGAAACGCAUGAUAAUCAUACCUCUCUAUCCAACAGAAUGAGUGUAUCUACUUCAGGCCUUCCCACCUGGAAUAGAACUUGCGUCAUUUAGAAUAGUGACCAAAGGAAACAAAAUCAUCUGAAAAAUAUAAGAUAUCGAAGUCAUUGAAUAUUAAAGCACUCAAAAUGCUGCAGGCAAAUUUUUACAUCAUUGGUAUUGACAGGUUCCUCCACUUGCAUGCGGUUAAGUAUAUCUGCAACACGAACUGAUCCUUUGCCCUUUGCCCUCACUUUCGGUAUAACUCCAAAAGAAAACUAUGAUAGGUGUCAGCCAUGAGAAAGCACAAUGUGGAUCAUAACGUAAAGAAUAAGGAAAGAUUCAAACCUCGAGCUCAUGUAUUGCUUUUGCAACAUGCCAAAGUGAGCUAACAUCACCAUCGACAAGGCAAUCCUAUCAUUUUGAAAAACAAGAAAUAUGUGAGCUUAAGGCCUCAAGGGAAAUGGUACAUGAAGUAAUAAGUACAAAUUGGACAUAUGCGAGUUGUACACACUUUUUCACAGAGCUCAAGCUCAAAAGAUAUCACAUCCUCAUCCAGUGGAACCAUAUACAGAGGAAACUCCUUCACGGUAACCAGGUUAUGAACUUUUUCCUGCUCAAGAAUCUGAAAUAGCAGGAUAAGAUAUUUAUCACCCUUUAUUCAAGAGGUAGUAAGAACAAUGAAAAUGAAUCACAAAGAGUCGAAGAAGAUGGCAAUAACCACACACCUUCUCACACGCGACAGACCUACGAGGAACAAAGUAAACGUAGUAGUCUCUCUGAAUCGCUUUGGAAAUAUCAUUCUGAAUGUGCGAAGCUAUGUGUUUCAUAAAACUGAGUUGAGAUCGAACAAGAUAGACCACUUUCGUGCAUUCAGUCUGAACUGGUUCUUCAGAAAGAUGUCGUAAUUCCAAACCAAGUUCCUGUUAAGCAGAAGACCACUAGUGUUGAAACAAUACUCUCAACCAUUAUAAGAAGAAAAUAAAUAAUCUCAUUUCUUCCUUUCCUAAACAGACUAACAGAGUAAUCAAUCUAAAGUCAUUUAAACCUGGCAUUACCUUAAGUGUGGAAGUCUGGAUGAUCAAUGAAACGGAACCGCUUAGCUUUGGAUCAAUAACCAGACACUUAGUUCCACGAAUCUACAAAAAGGCACCAAAGAGAGAAGACAAAACAUUAGUUGUGUUCCGAAAGCUCUUUUUCUACCCAAAAUGUGAAAUUGGUAACUGAUAACAACAACAAUGCGAAUCAUAUCGAAAGAGAGAGAGUAACGAGACUUACGUCUUUAAGCAAGUUUACGAGCUCCCUCUGAGACUUCUCCCUGAAUUAGAAUUGAGCAAAACAUAUGAGAGGAGAACGAGAAAACGAUCAAUUUAAGUAUUGAAAAUGGACUCUCACCUAAUGGAUUUGAGAUUGAGAGGAGCAUUCUCCAAGUUAGGGAUCUGCGCCAUGGAAGACGAUCAGAGAUGAUCGGACCUGUUCGACGUUUCUCUGUUUUUUUUUCCUUCACCGUGCGACCGCAAAGGACGAGCACGGUGGAGAAGAUAGUUAGAAACACUAAAUGGGCCUCAUAAGUCUGUAUAUGGGCUUUUACAUCUAAGCUUAGAAGCUGGGCUUGGUCUUGUUCUGUGAGUGGUGUUAAUUUGCUCAUAUGUUUUUGUCAAACGUUAUUAAUUUGCCCAAAUGUUUUCAUCAACGAUGUUGAUAAUGUUCAAGAUUAAUGUACAUGAGAAUGUUUUAUAUGAAACAAAUUUCAAAUAUAUUUCAAACUGACUAAGCAGAGUCAGUUUAUUUUUUGCAUUGGAAAAUCUGGUACUACUUGGAAAAUUUUAGAGGAACAAAUUGACAACAAGAAGACGUACGAUAGAUAUACGUCACUGGUACAAAGGGUCUCUCAUGUGUCAAAAUAUGUGAGUUUACAGAUGUUGAGGUAGACAAGGCCACGUCCAUCAUGAAGAUGUUGAGGGGGAAUCAUCAUGAAGAAUGCUAUGAGAGUGUACGUCCAUAAGAAUCUGGGAUCCACUCUAUAUUGUUUGGUAUUCAUAUGAAGUUAUGGACCAUUGAUGUGUUGGACCCGCUGCUACUUAUAAUGAAUUCAUGAGUUUAUAAAUAAAAUAAGCAACCCUACAUUUUUGUUCGUUUACUAUUAGGCAACCCUAGACGUAUUGCUUCCACACUACAAAAAAACAGGCGAGAAAAACGAAUUCCCAACGAAUUUGUUUGCGAAAUACUCCCUCCGUUCUUAAAAAAUCCAUGUUUUAGAAAAAAAAAUUGUUUCAAAAAGAUACAUUUUUUAUAUUUUCAAUACAUAAAUUAAAUGUAAAUUGUAAACUUCAAAAAACAUAAUUGUAUUUAUUAAAAUUCUAUUGGUGAAAACUUGUGGGAUAUAGUUGAUUACGGAAAAUAAUGUAUUGGUUACUAAAAUUUGAUAUAUUUUCUUAAUAAAUAUGAAAAUCUUAAAAUAUGGAUCUUUUAAAAACAAAGAGAGUAUAACGUAGGUCGGAUUUCAUGAAAUUAAACCGUCUAAUGCAAUGGUUGAGGAAAAAUAGAUUGAGAUAUAUAUAUUCGAGAAAAUAGGAAUGAAACUUUAUUCUUUGAAGAUAUAGACAUAGGCAAUAGUUUCGAAGAUAUAUAACACUAUACUAUACGAUAGUUCUCGUGGGGAAAUAAGUAGUUGUUCCACAAAUUUGUUGUCGAAUUUUCCGAUAGACAUGCGUUUCUUUAUUGUUUUUUUUUCUUUCAAAUUUGUAGAGAGUAUUAGUAAUAUAAAAAUAUUCAAUUUCAAAGAUUUUGACGAAUUCACCACGGAGUGAUAACGAGCAGCCAGUACCUGUCCGAUUAAUCAAUUAUCUAGGGCGAGUUUUUGAACAUUGUACUCAUCUUAUACCAUUAGAUAAAUUCAUUAACUUGUAGUUUUGUACUGUUUAUAAUGUUUUAGUUAAUUUAUAUUUUCAUUUGCAUAUAAAUUAUAAAUUAUAUUUUUAUAUGCUUUUUUUUUUCUAUUAACUGUUCAUCGAUUUCACAAAAUUAAUGCUGAGUCUCCUAGGCAAGUGUAUAAAAAAAAUUAAAAUAAAACAAAGACACAAAAGGGCCCCUUCCUCAACGUCACCCACUAAACCACGAACGCGGGAACCCAUAAUUUCAUUUUAUUCAUUUUCACAGCCGUCGUCGGUCGUGCCUCCCUCUUCCCCUCUUCAUUCAUCUCUUUCCACUUCUCCACGAACUUUUCAAAUCCACUCUCCUUUCAAUCAAUCUUCUCCCCCCCCCUCCUUUCGUGCAUCGCGACGAGCUUUACUACUAUGACUUCUUCCUCGAACUCAUCCUCCGCCGUCAGAUCGUCGGCGAAACACGCGGCUGACCGGAUUCAGCAGCACCUGCCUCCCAGCAACCCCGCGUCCCUCUCUUCGUCUUCCUUGAACUUACCCUCUAAGACCUCUAUCGCCGCUUCGAUUAACCACCACUCUCCUCGCCCUAAAGAUCGACCUUCCUCCACCGCCUCCUCCGUCUCCGCCGCUUCUCCUUCUACUCGCCGCUCCGGCACCCCCGUCCACCGAUCUCAGUCUAAAGACUUCGACGACGACAACGGUAUCUCCCCCUUCCUCUCUCUCUCUCUCUACUUCGUGUAUUAUCCGUACGAUUCUCCAUUUGCGUUAACGGAUUUGAUGACUCUUCACUCUAGGGCGAUUGUAUACUCGAUUUGGGGAUUAGGAUUGUUAGUGAUGAUCGUUGAUUUUGAUUUUGAGUUUAAGUUGAUUGGUCAUAUGGUGAAUUGGAACUUCGAUAUUGAGUUUGAAUUUCAAAUUGUUAUAUUCUCUACAGAUCCAGGGAGGGUGAGAGUUUCUGUAAGAGUUCGACCUCGUAACGGAGAGGAGCUUAAAUCAGAUGCUGACUUUGCUGAUCUUGUUGAGUUACAACCUGAGGUCAGUCACUAUGCCUUUCUCCCUCUCUUAAGUUAUAGUUAGAUCCUUAGAAAGUGCUCUUUUGUUUUGUUUUCUCUACAGAUAAAGCGGCUUAAGUUGAGGAAAAACAAUUGGAACUCUGAGUCCUAUAGAUUUGACGAAGUCUUUACAGACACAGCUUCUCAGAAACGCGUUUAUGAAGGAGUAGCAAAACCUGUAGUCGAGGUUAGAAAAUCAUUCUAUUCUUGAUGUAGAAUCUUUGAGGAUGAGAUUUUAUUUUCGAUAUUCAUUACUGCAUUCGUUCUGUAGGGUGUUCUGAGUGGAUACAAUGGCACAAUCAUGGCUUAUGGUCAAACUGGCACGGGUAAGACUUACACCGUGGGAAAAAUUGGUAAAGAUGAUGCAGCUGAGCGUGGUAUCAUGGUUCGAGCUCUUGAGGAUAUACUUGCCAGCGCGUCCUCUGCUUCUUCUGUUUCAGUGGAGAUCUCUUAUUUGCAGGUGUGACACUAUAGAUCUUCUGCGUUGAUCUCUUUUUCAUUUAUAGCAUGACUUCAAUGCUUAGACCAUACAUGCCUAACAUCUAUGUUGCUCUUCUUGUAAUUCACAGCUUUAUAUGGAGACUAUACAAGAUCUUCUUGCACCUGAGAAAAGCAACAUUUCAAUCAAUGAGGAUGGGAAGACUGGGGAAGUAUCAGUACCAGGUGCAACAGUAGUUAACAUUCAAGAUCUAGACCAUUUCUUUCAAGUUUUGCAAGUCGGUGAGACAAACCGCCAUGCGGCGAAUACAAAGAUGAAUACAGAAUCCUCACGUAGCCAUGCCAUUCUUACGGUGUGUAACACCUUAGAAUAUUUGGUCUUUUAUGGUUCUUGGUCAUUAAAAGUAGUCCAUGUUUUGGAUUAAUGAAAUGUAUCUUCUAUGCAGGUUUACGUUAGGCGGGCUAUGAAUGAAAAGGCUGAAACAGGAACUAAAUCGCCAAAACCUGAAUCUUUGGGAGAUAAAGGCAUUCCAAGAGUUAGAAAGAGUAAACUUCUAAUUGUGGAUCUUGCUGGCUCAGAAAGAAUAAAUAAAUCUGGUUUGAACUCAUUCCCUGUUCAUAUAACCACCAUUCAUUUCAUAUCAAGUAGGUUAUGACUGAGUUAUAUCCUGUUUUUUAUUAAGGCACUGAUGGCCACUUGAUUGAAGAGGCGAAAUUCAUUAAUCUUUCACUGACAUCUCUGGGAAAGUGCAUAAAUGCAUUAGCUGAAGGCAGUUCUCAUAUACCGACUAGAGAUUCUAAGCUAACAAGGCUUCUUCGUGAUUCUUUCGGGGGUUAGUUUACCAGAACUUUCUUGAGCCAUUUAUAAAAACACAAAGCGUGGCUCACUUCUGUGUGCCUUCUACAUUUUUCAUGUUUUUCCAGUUAAGCUUGUGCCUAUUACAUAAAUUUUGAAAUUGUUCUUUUUUCGGCACUGAUCAAAUAGGUUCUGCAAGGACUUCACUUAUAAUAACUAUUGGGCCGUCUGCACGGUAUCAUGCAGAGACAACUAGCACAAUAAUGUUCGGACAAAGGGUCAGUUUCAUGUUUCUGUUGAUCCAUGAUUCUAUCUAUAUCUGCAGAAUCGUAAACUGAGAAAGACACAGUUUUCUGAUAUUUUAAAGACACAGUUUUCGAGUAAUGCCUUGUUGGUUUUGUCUCACUUUUACAGGCAAUGAAAAUAGUAAACAUGGUAAAGCUUAAAGAAGAAUUCGAUUAUGAAAGUUUGUGUCGGAAGCUUGAGACUCAGGUGGACCAUCUUACUGCAGAAGUUGAAAGACAAACCAAACUAAGAAAUAGUGAGAAGCUCGAGUUGGAGAAAAGAUUGAGAGAAUGUGAAAACACUUUCGCUGAAGCAGAAAAGAACGCGGCAAGGUCCAAGGUAUUUGUCUCUUGUAAUGAUUGGCUACUAUUUUCUUUAUAUUGAACUAUUGUCUAGUUUCUUGAUAUGAUGCCUAUUUUACUAUUAUCCGGUGCUUAUAUUUUGAGGGGUGAAUCUGAAUUACAGUUCCUGGAGAAGGAAAAUGCCCGCUUGGAGCUUCGUAUGAAAGAACUAUUGAAGGAUUUGGAAAUGCAGAAAGAUCAGUGUGAUCUAAUGCGUGACAAAGCCACACAAUUGGAGAUGAACUUGAAAAAUACAAAGGUACACUUUCUAUCAUAUGUUCGUAGUUCUCUCAGCAACUACUUAGAAUAUAUUAUUAGUUGACUACUCUCUUUCUUUUGAUCUUUAUUUAACUACUCACAGAAGCUCUUGGUUGUUUUCUCACUAUUAAGAUAAAUUUUAAGCAGUGUCUUCUUUUGUAGUUGUGUAUGUAUAAUUUAACAGGCUCUGACAUUGUCAUUUUACUUGUUAGUAGCAGCAACAACUGGAAAGUUCGGCAUAUAAGGAAAAACUUGCAGAUGCCAGUAAAGUAUACGAGACAAAAAUUGCUGUUUUGGUUCAGCGGGUUGAGGAUGAACAAGCCCGGUCAACAAAUGCCGAGCAUCAAUUGAACGAAAUGAAAAAUAUUUUGAGUAAUCAGCAGAAGUCUAUUCAUGUUAGUUAAAACUCCUUUAAAAAAAAUUUGAAUGCAUUAGUCUUGUGUUCAAACUAAUGUUUUUUUUGGGUGUUCUAGGACCAAGAGAUGGGCAACUAUCAAUAUCAAAGGGAACUUGCGGAAGCCACUUACACGUAUGAAUCUAAAAUCGCGGAGCUCCAGAAGAAAUUGGAAGAUGAACAUGCUCGGUCUAACUCUGCAGAGGAGCAACUUAGACAGAUGAAAAGUAUUAUAAGCGAUCGCCAAGUUUUAUCACAGGUUAUUGGCGUAUUCUUGAUUUUUUGAAACUGGAUUUUAAUAAGAACGAUACUUUCAGCUUUAUGUUUCUGUCUUUUUUAUCUUUUCAGCAAUGAUAAAUUCUACUCUUGCAGAACUUUCUGUCUCCAACUUUGUUUUUUUUUUUUUCUGGUUUUGGUUUCAGGAAAAUGAAAAGACAAACGAACUCAAGAAAAAACUAGAAGAACUUUCACAGAUGUAUGAGUCGACAGUAGAUGAACUCCAGACAGUGAAAUUAGACUAUGAUGAUCUGCUCCACCAAAAGGUGUGACCCCUAAACAUCUGCUUACAGAAAGAAUAUCAAACAAUUAAGAGUUGGUCAUAUUAAUUUAAAACAUCCAACUGUUGAUUUUCGCUGAUGAAUACACAUUAAAAUUUGUUUGACAUAGGAAAAACUUGGUGAAGAGGUCCGGGAUAUGAAGGAAAGGCUUCUUUUGGAAGAAAAGCAGAGAAAACAAAUGGAGAGUGAGCUUUCCAAACUAAAAAAGAAUCUAAGGGAAAGUGAAACUGUUGUUGAGGUGAAUUUAGAAUGAGCUUGUUUCACCUUUUUCAACAUGUACUUGUACUUCAUGGUCUUGCUAAGUCCAUUUCUAUUUCACAGGACAAGCGUGUGAAGGAAGAUCUUCCAAAAGGACCAUCAGAAUCUGGAGCUCUACCAGGCUCACAGAGAUCUCAUGGGUUAAAAAAGUCUCUAUCUGGACAGAGAGCUACCAUGGCAAGACUUUGUGAAGAAGGCAUGAUUCUUUCUCGUUAGUUUAGCUCGAUUUUAUUCUGGGAUAAUCCAAUUGACAUCUUCGUUUCUACUUCGGUUUCAGUGGGAGUCCAGAAGAUAUUACACCUGAUUAAGUCCGAAGACUUGGAAGUUCAAAUCCAAGCCGUUAAGGUGGUGGCUAAUCUGGCCGCUGAAGGUGUGUGAUUUCAUCGCUCUAUAUAUUAGCAUGUGUCAGUAGCCUCAAAUUUAUAUUCCUCUCUACUGUUACAAUACUGACUUUAUCUUUGUAUAUCAUGUGUCCUUGUACCUAAACGACUUGCAUUCUCUGUGUGUAUGUGUUUAGAAUCUAAUCAGGUCAAGAUUGUGGAGGAAGGCGGUGUGGAAGCUUUGCUUACGCUUGUUCAGUCAUCUCAAAAUUCAACAAUUCUUAGAGUGGCUUCUGGUGCAAUAGCUAAUUUGGCAAUGAACGGUAAGAACUUCUAUUGGUAGUUCAAGUAAUUUUUAUGUUAUUGUUGUCCACAAACCCGUUUAAACUUACUACUAAAAAGCAGUGCCAAUUUAGACUUUAAAAGUGGUCUCAUGUGGUUGUGUCAUUUAUUUACAAUGCUGGUUUGCUUGAAUGUUGAAUCUGCAAGUUGAAUUAGAUGGUUCGUGAUGCCAUGCUUCAAUAAUAUGGUUUCUUUUAUUAAUUGCAGAGAAGAGUCAAGAUUUAAUAAUGAAUAAAGGAGGUGCUCAACUGCUAGCAAAGAUGGUGACCAAAACAGAUGAUCCACAAACUCUAAGAAUGGUAGCUGGUGCACUUGCCAAUUUAUGUGGAAACGGUGAGCACAAGAUUUUCAAACGCAUCUACUCGUCUGCACUGUAUAGCAUAUGCAAAAUCCAAUAUAUUUGGUGAAGCUUUUUGCUGGGAUGAUAAGUAUGUAUUUAACUCGUACAUGUUGCUGUCUAUUGCACAAACAGAGAAGUUUCUUAAGCUCCUGAAAGAAGAGGAAGGUAUCAAGGGACUACUCACAAUGGCGCAGUCCGGAAACAUAGACAUCAUAGCUCAAGUGGCAAGAGGGAUGGCAAAUUUUGCAAAAUGUGAAACUCGCGAAAUCAUGCAAGGUUUGUUGUAAUACAGAGAUACCUCAUAAAAAAAUGCAGAUCCAAGUCAAUUUUGCUAAUAUACGUUGAGUGAUCAUAUGCAUCGCAGGGCGUAGAAAAGGUCGUUCUCUUCUUCUGGAAGAAGGUGCUCUUGAAUGGCUGACUUCAAACUCACAUAUUGAAUCCGCAUCAACACAACGUCACAUCGAGCUUGCGCUUUGCCAUUUAGCUCAAAAUGGUAAGCCUAUAUUGUGUUGAGUAAAACUGAUUUCACAUGUCUCUCACUCUCUAGAGCAGGCCCAGCUUAUAUGCAUACCUCCUCUUAUUUGAUACAGAGGCAAACGCGAUUGAUUUCAAAAGAACGGGAAGCGUGACAGAGAUCGUGAGAAUAUCAGUGGAGUCGAGUAGAGAUGACAUUCGCAGCUUAGCAAAGAAGAUACUCAGAUCAAACCCUCACUUCUCAAACUGAACAUGAAGUAACAGCAAGAGAUGUACAUAAACAUAACUGGCGAGCUGAGUCUGAAACUAAGAUUAUGUCCUGUGAUCAUUUAUAUGAUGUUGUAUCCUGUCUCCGUUGAACGUGGACUCCGUUGCUAAUUUUCCUGAACAGUUUCUUGAUCAUUUUUUGCUACAAAUCUGUAGUGAAUACUCCUUAUGGUUUGAAAUUUGAUAUGGCCAAGCUCUCCUAUGUAUGAUUGAUGUUGGGAAACAUGGAGUAGAUGGAUCAAACUCAUGUCUCCUCGCUGAUGUUGUGUUUUGCAUUAAAGUAACAAGACUUAUUUGGAAUCAGUUUUGUUCUCAUUUAACAAUCAUACAAGUGUUACAAAUGGAGUAUGUGAGUGGUCACAAAAGAUAGUUUUAAGAGUAGAUGUUUUCGUAACUCCUAAUGAUUUUAAUUGAAUCUCUUUUUCUUUGUUCUUUUGUCGAUGUGAUGGCAUUGUUAGAUUCUUCUUCUAAUCGUAAAGGCCUUCGUCAUACCAUAUAUCGACCAGAAAGUCCACCAUCUCCUACACAAACAUCAGAUUGGACAAAUUCAGUUAUUUGAGAAUGAUUUUUUAGCUUCUUUGAAUAAAUGAGAGAUUAGAUCAAAAGCUUACGGGUAAAGGAAUCGACUCAGAGAAAGGUUCAUGAGUUGAGAGAAGAUCUUCAUAUGUAGUGGACCAACUACAAGAGAUUCAAGAUUAUGUUAAAGAGUAUACAUCACUAGAAUAUUAAUAAAACACAACAAGAGAAACAUAGAUCUCAUUGUUAAAAUAACCUUAUAAUCUGAUCCUUUGUAGUCUUUUUUCUUUGUCGAGAUUGAUCUCCCACCCAUUUUUCUCUGUUCUCUUGCCACACCUUUACACCUGCAACCAAUAAGAUGCUUAAGAACAAAUAGUCUCAAAUUACAGAACCAACAAAUUAUAAUCUCUUAUGGUUGCUCUUAUAAUAUCUUUGUUAAGCUAGUUGUGAAAAAUGUACCAUGAUUUACAGGUGUAAUGGUGUUUUCAGUGUUCUUUUUAACCGAGCUUUUAUCUUCUAUGACCAGUUUUGAAAGCUCAAGAGGUUUGUUUUCCGUGGACAGACAAUUUGCAGUAAAAAGCUCCAUUGUUGUGAUUCAAUCGAAUGAUCAUUCCUUUGCGAAAUAAAUUUGAUUAUACGAACAUUCAACAAAGAAUAUCAAAGGUUCCCACACAAGCUGCUAGAAACACAAACAUUAUAUUAAAACCAUAUUCAUCAUGAAACUAUUACAGGAAAGAGGUUGGGUUUAGUUUUACCUCAUUGACAUUUUCAUCAAUCAGCUUGUGGGAAAACCUAAAAGAAAAGAUUAAAUAAACAAGAAUACCAGAUUCCUCAGAAAAAUAUCAAUUCAUUAUCAAAGGAUGAAAAUUCAAUACAAAACCAAAAAAAAAAAAAAAAAGAUUGAUUGUUUCACAUUGCCGUUCAUAUUCAUUACCAAAUCUUCAUCUAUAAAGCAACACAAAGAGUAUAUCUUUAAAUGUACACCUACUUCUGUUUCCUUAAGAAAGAUCAUUUUGGAACAUAAUGUAUUCAAGAUCCAAUCAGAAGCAUUCAAGAUCCAAUUAUUAUCUUAUGGAUAAGCUAAAGUUCUUUAGAGAAACAGAACAUUUACAGGAAACAAGAACAGAGGAAAGAGGAUUUACCUACCUAAAUGAGGACGUACCCAGCAGAAAAUUUGGUGGGAGGAUUGAAACUUGUUUUCUUUUAGGUUUAUAUGUAAAUGAAAUGUUAGAUCUUGAUGAGCCAAUUAAAAUGAACUAAAAAUAAAGUUAAAAAGGAAUAAUAGCCAAAAAUAGGAGAGAAUAAAAAGGAAUUAAAGUGUUUACUUUGUUGGUAGAUGAGUAGUAAUAAUAAUAAAAUGAUCUAUAUCCACCACCACUAUCCAGAUCUGUUUUGGGUCAAUGAGACAGAAAAAUUGAAGUAAGGCCCACGCAUCUGAUAAAACAACACAGCUUUCUCUUUCAAUCAUACGUGGAUGUGAUUAGGAAAAAGAUAAUAUAUCAUCAUUUACUAUAUGGUAAGAGAAUUAUAAUGAAAUUUUGUCACAUGUUUUAAUCAUAUUAUUAUUAUAUUUACAAUUCUACAUACACUACUUUGAUUUUUCCUCAGAUUUUAUCUCGAGAUGACUGACCAUAUCAAAUCUAUACUAUACUAAAAGAGGAUAUAAGCCCCUCUUAGAGUGUCCACGUAGGCACAAAAAAUCGUCCAAUCAGAGAGUCCAAAAUUGCCAUGUCAUCUCAUUUAUUUUUUCGUAAAAAAUGAAAAAACAAUGCAAAGGAGAAGAUCGAACCCGGGUUAGUAUGACAUAAAUAUAGGGCAUAUACCACUAAGCUAUUGAAACUUUCUUGGACACAUAUACAAGAAUUACUAAAUAUGUAAUCACAAACUCUUAUGUACAUUUACAAUAAUAUGGAUUCAACUUUCAAAACUCCGAUACUUUGUUUUGUAAAAUAAAAAAAAGUAAGUGACUAAGCUAAUAUAUUCUUUGAAAGUGUGAGAACAUUGACAAAUAUGAAAAAACAUAGAUUUUUGUUUUCGUGACAAAGUUAAGAAUUUUGUAAAAGUAAGUUUAACAUAUAAAUUUCCGUGACAAAUAUGAAAAAGCAUAGAUUUUGUACAAUUUUAACAAAAGAACUCAAAACAUAGUUCUCUAAUGACUUAAUAAAAUAUUAUUUAAGGGUGCAAUAAUUAAAUAUAUCAAUUCACUAAAUUUUGUAAUUUAUAGACAAAACAAUAACACAACAAAUUUUGAAACAUUUGUUUAACCUAUCGAUUUAUUUUCAUGAGAAUCCAACUAAACAAGAUAAAAAAACAAUUAGAUUUAUUUAAUUACAAUUUUAUUCAAUUUUGAAUAAUUUCAAAUUGUACUAAUGUAUCUUUUUGAAGUUACAAAAAAUAAUGUUCUUUCUUUAUUACACUAGCAUUAUAUAUAGAUUCCAUAUACACAAAUAAAUAUAAUAUAACAACAUAAGCUUGCUUUCCCCGAUUCAUAUGAAAACUUUUUAAGUUAUCCACCAAACCAAAUUAAUUAAAUCAAUAAAAUUGUUAGAAUACAAAAAGUUAAUAUAUAAUUUUAUUUUAAAUUAAAUUAAUAAAAAGUGUAUUUUCAUUAAAAACAAAAUAAUAAAUAAGUAAAACUGAUUUGAUGGUAAUUUUUAUGACAUAUAUAUAUAUAUUAUGUGAAAGAAAUAUAAGCUUAAUAUGGAAAAAAAUCUUAAAUACAAAAAACUCUAAAAUUAACAAAAAAAAUUAAUAAAAAUUAAACUAUGAUAUCAAUUGAAAGCUUCUUAGACAAUAUUAAUAAAAUAUUUAAGCGCUAAUUAGAUAAAUUUGAUUUUUUUGCUAGCCAAAAGUUUAUUAUAAUUAGCAUCAGUUAUUUCAAGAUAUUUAAGAAAUGAUAGACUUAAAUGAUAUAUCAUUUGCACAUCAUUUCCAGUUUUUUUAUGCAUAGAUUCAAUUUAUUCAGAGCAGUUAUUCCACAAAGAGAUCGUAUGAGAUAUUAUUUUGAUAUUCAGAUUUGUUUCUUGACUGUUAAGAAGAUUGAUAACUGUAAAAAUAUCACCUUCGAAUAUUAUAUGUCUAUAACCGAAUCCCCAACAUGAGACAACUUAGUUUAAAAAGUAAAUAAUUUCAUUUUUCUUAUAUUAUAUAAUAAAUAUAUAUUAUUUACUGUUAACAAAAAUAUAGUUAUUCAUCUAUCACAAAUAUCUAUGGAAAUAUGUGAAUUAAGUACAACAAUCAAACAACAUAAUAAUUUCCACAAAAAAAAUUGAAAAAAUAUAUUUAUGUUAGGUAGUCUUAUUUUAUAUUCUUUAAAUAAUGUAAUACAAUAUUAUACAUUAUUUUUUUAGAAUUGAGAAAUACAUAUAUAUUAGUUAGAUAAAUUAAGCGAUAAUUAGACAAAUUUGAUUUUUUUUCGAGCCAAAAGUUUAUUAUUAAUUAGCAUCAGUUAUUUCAAGAUGUUUAAGAAAGGAUAGACAAAAAAAUAGGAUGGACAUAAAUGAUAUAUGAACUAUGAAUAGUAUUUUGUAAAGCUGACUUAGAUAACACAUCUGCACAUCUAUUUCCAGUCCUUUUUGAUGUCUAAAUUCAAUUUCUUCAGAGCAGUUAUUCCACAAAAAGAUCGUAUGAGAUAUUGUUGUGAUAUUCAGAUUUGUUUUUUGACUGUUAAGAAGAUUGAUAACUGUAAAAUAUCUCAUUCGAAUAUGAUAUGUCUAUAACUGAGUCUACAACAUGAGACAAGUUUGUUUUAAAAGUAAAUAAUUUUAUUUUUCUUAUAUUAUAUAAUAAAUAGAUAUUAUUUACUGAUAAUAAAAAUAUUGUUAUUCAUCUAUCACAAAUAACUAUGCAAAUAUGUGAAUCAAGUACAACAAUCAAACAACAUAAUGAUUUCCACAAAGAAAUUUUUAAAAAUAUAUUUAUGUUAUGUAGUCUUAUUUUAUAUUCUUUAAAUAAUGUAAUACAAUAUUAUACAUUAUUUUUUAAAAUUUAGAAAUACAUCUAAUAUCUUAUCCGCGCGUAGCGCGGUUAAAAAAUCUAGUUAUCAAUAAUCAAGAUAGAUAACAUGUUUGCGUGUUUGGUUUACCAUUCUUGAUUUUGCUUUUUUCUUCUUCUUAUCAUAAUUGCGUUAACCUAGAUUAAGUGUUUUAAGAGUAAUAUUUAUGUCUUAUGAUGAUGAUAAUGAUAUUGAAAUUGUAGUCAUUUGCAUUAUCGGUAAUCUUACACCACAUUGGCGCUGACAAACACAAAAGAAACAGACUUUUUCUCUCUCAAUUUGGUUACAUAUUCUAUUCCAUACUGUAAAAGUUUUAAAACCCUGUUAGUGUUAAGAUUUCAAUCAAUAUCAACCACUUACUGGUAUGAUUCUCUCGUUCGUUUAUUUCCUUGUUGCUUAGCUUUGUAUUUUUCGGUUUAGGAAACUAGAUCGUAUUGCUUUGGUAUAUAACAGUGUAAAGACCUAAAUAUGAAUUGAUAUGAUAAAUCCUUAUCUGAUUCUUCUAUAGAACCAAAAGAAACAAAUCCUUAUCCGAUUCUUCUUCUAAAAGAUAUGCAAGAAGAUCAAAAUACCAUUAAAAUAAAAAACAGAUCUUUUAAUCGGAAGAAGAGGUUUGUGGCAGAAACAAACCAGAAUCAUGGACGUUAUGGAAAAUAAACAUUCUCAAAGGAACUAGAGGUUGUGGAGACGCAUUUUCAAAAGUAGAAAAAAUACACGAAAUAAGUGUGGGCCUUAGUUUGAAAGGAAGAAUGUGAGAUAUCAGACAAAUCAUACAUUGACAUUUAGACAAAUGAAAGUCUAGUAUAUAAAAAAUAUUCAACUCUAAUUAGUACGAAACCUUUUGGAAAGAAAAUCAAAAAUAAAACCACGCGAGUUUGCUUAAAGCCCAAAAUGAACGAUAUCGUACUAACCAGACAAUACAUAGUUGGACAUGGAUUCAAUAAAUCCCAACUAAAAUAAUAUUAACAACUUAAACUCAAUUAUUAAUCAGGUAAAUUACUUGUGUCUUGUGUGAGUUGGUUAAUAAUAUAUAUCUAAGUUGGUAAAACAAAUAAAAGUGUAUCAUCAUCUCAUUUAUUAAAGAAGUUAGAAAUCUUAAUUAAAAGUUAUGAACUAUCAACAAGACAACAAGUCAAUUUUUUUCUUCUGUAAUGGAAGUAUAAAAUAUGUGAAUAUUUACCAAAACUCAAAGCCUCAAAGUCUGACAAUCUAAAUGAUGUAAAUUUUGUUAAGUCACAUAUCGGUUCGUAAACCGAUUCAAAAGGUUUAAUCACAUAGAAUUCAAGCUCACACGAAGCAAUAGAUCACCAAGACAAAACAAAGGUUUCAGACAAUCUGUCUUUCAUUACAGAGAGUUUUGAUACACAUAAAGCUCAUAGGACACAUUACUAUCUUUUCUUUACAAAGUCACUAGUUCAAAGGGAUAACAAUAUCGCCAAUGUUUUUGUGCCAUGGAUCCG